RNAcentral lists this long non-coding RNA (47789 nucleotides) under Chlamydomonas reinhardtii. RNAcentral's name for it is "long non-coding RNA (CREI_LNC000020)". The record is from RNAcentral. Lineage: Eukaryota; Viridiplantae; Chlorophyta; Chlorophyceae; Chlamydomonadales; Chlamydomonadaceae.
CAGCUAGCACAAACCUGCCGAAACAAAUCAGCAAAUUUACGCCACCCACUUCUUGGCGGUGACCUCAGCCAGGUCGACCACGCGCUGGGAGUAGCCCCACUCGUUGUCGUACCAGGCCACGACCUUGACCAUGUCGUCGCCCAUGACCAUGGUCAGGGAGGCGUCGAUGGAGGUCGACUGGUCGGUGCACUUGAAGUCAAUGGACACCAGGGGGGCGUCCUCGACGUGCAGCACGCCCUUCAUGGGGCCGUUGGCGGCCUCGCGGAAGGCGGCGUUCACCUCCUCGGCGAAGGUCUUCUUCUCAACCUGUGGUUGAGCGGGAGCGCAGGACAGGACAGGAGGGUGGGUCAGUGACAGCCUCAAGACAAGUUACUGAGGCGUGCAGCAUGCCACCGGCAACACGAAAUAUACAAGAAUUCGGUAAGCGGCGCCCACUGUCCAGGUGUAGUUGUUACAGCGCAAGGGGAGGCAGUCUCACCUGGACGACCAGGUCGACGACCGACACGGUGGGGGUGGGCACGCGCAGGGCAAUGCCGUUCAGCUUGCCCUUCAGGCUGGGCAGCACCAGCGACACGGCCUUGGCGGCACCGGUGGUGGUGGGCACAAUGUUCAGGGCGGCGGCGCGGGCGCGGCGCAGGUCGCGGUGGGACGCGUCCAGCAGGCGCUGGUCACCGGUGUAGGAGUGGGUGGUGGUCAUCGUGCCCUUGACAAUGCCGAACUUCUGCUCCAGCACCUGGGGUAGGCAAGGGAGAGGGGAAAGGGGAAGGGCCGGGUCAGAGACAGGUGAGCUGACAAGACAAGAUAUCCCAGGGCACUCGGACCCGCAACACCGUGGACGCUCUUGCCGCCCCCCGCAUUUAUUCCUGACGAAAAAGCCACAGCAAGCAACAUGCGUAAGCUUCCUUACCUUGACGAAGGGGGCCAGGCAGUUGGUGGUGCACGAGGCGUUGGAGAUGAUGGGGUACUCGUGCUUGUAGUCGCCCUCGUUCACACCGACCACGAAGGUGGGGAUGUCCUUGUCCUUGGCGGGGGCGGUGAUCAGCACCUUGGAGGCACCGGCCUAUAGAUGUGUGGGGCAAGGCAGGGGGGUCAUGUCAGCAGGGGGAACGAGCUCAAUGGGCGAGCGAGCGCCGUUACUCGUAACGCCAACACCCCCCCACUUGCUAGCGAGCAGUGCCGACCCAAAACGUGCACACCCAAAACCCCCGUCGCUUCCCGGCCCAGAGAUGCGCUUUAAUUGCGGCAUGCUCACCUGGAUGUGCUUGCCAGCGCCAACCUUGUCAAUGAAGACACCAGUGCCCUCAAUGACCAGGUCGAUGUUCAUCUCCUUCCAGGGCAGCUGCAGGGGGUCGCGGCUGGACACAAUCUUGAUCUGCUUGCCGUCCACCGAGAUGUGGCUGUCGUCGACGAUCUUAACAUCGGCGGCGAACGUGCCCAGGGUGGAGUCGUACUUCAGCAGGUGGCUGGCCUGCUUGACACCGCCGCUGUCGUUGAUGGCAACCACGUCCAGCAGGGUGUUCUGGCGACCGUGCCAGCAGCGCAGGAAGUUGCGGCCAAUGCGACCGAAGCCGUUGAUGGCCACGCGGAUCUUCUUCUCCGCGCGCACGUCGACGACGGCGCGGGCAGCCUGCGAGCGCGAUGCAAGAGAGUAGGAUCGGUGAACGUUGACCUGGCAACCCAACUAUCUUAUUUAUCAACUGAUCACACACGUAGCAGAAGCCCGCCGAAGACCCAGCGAGUGCUGGGCUGUGCGACCCAAGAACCCAAGUCCGCAAGCAAAAGCCGAGCCAUGCCCACCUUGGCGCGGACGCCAGACUUGGAGGACACGGCGCUGCCGGUGAAGGCGCUCUGCAAGCGCAAGAAACAAACAGGCGCGGUCAGGACUAGAAGAAAGAGGCGCCUGAGGCGCUUGGGUCGGGAUCACAUCUGGAAGUUCUGGGUGACAAGUCGCUGGUCUUUGGAUAUGUAUUGCUGUUCGGUAUUGAGUGCACUGCGCACCUUCUGCAUCAUGGCGGCCAUUUUGGACAGGACCCGUAAGAGUACCGAGCUUGCUGAGCCCGCGUUGCUUUUAGCCGGUCGGCUCGGCUCGCUCGGUGCCGUACGGGUGGCGACCCAUGCAGCCUUAUCGGCGUCGUACCUCGCGUUCGCCGCUGAACGAGCGCGCGGUGCCCCCUGGAUGAUGCUUGUAAAUCUAGACCCACUCACUGCGACGCGCGCGGGGGUGCGCGGGAGCGACCGGCGCGCGGGGAAGCCCCGGCAUUCUAGUCAAGUUUUGCGGGACUCGCGGCCGACCGCAUUUUAACCAUGGCAAUGACUUAUUGAUGCGAUAGGAGAAACAUCAAAAUUUUCUCUAGGGGUCGACGAGCGCUGCGCGCACGCUGGUGCUUGCACUCAGCUCGAGAACCCGCGACACUCGCGAAAGCCACGCUUUAUUCUUUAUCAUGCUUUCUUCUAUUGCUGCGUAAGUAUUCUACUCCCGGCAAGCCUGGGAAGCAUGCAAGGCAGUCAGGGCUUUCGCGUUCGCGUGGACACGACGCUGUAAGGCGCGAAAUAUACAUCUCACUCAGAAAAGAAUGCGGGGACUGUCCGUUCUAAAGGAGCGCUGGCGGCGUGAGAAGCGACCGCGAGUGCCCAUCGUGCAACAUCUCUAAGGAGCGCUUGGGGAGACACGCCGUGCUGUGGACUUGACCGGGCACACGACGGGUGUUCAGGGCGUGCAAAGACAUCGCGAACUGAUCUUGGGAACUGCGUGACCUUUCGCCUAUCAUGGUGCGGCCAGCGUGGAAGGGCGGGACGCGCCGUGUCGGCCCGACAACGCCGGGACACGCCGCUACUUGUUGUCAGGGUGGGAGCGCUUGCACUGGGCGUCCGUAGAGGUGCAUCUGACAGGUAGCCGCCAGACGUCGGGGUGCAUGCGUAGGGGCAGUGAGGGCUCCAGGGCGUGGCUCCAGGGUGUGGCGGUGCAAAGCGCUCGCGGGCGGCUCGCGUACCACGGUGCUGCUCAAGCCCGUAUCUUGGGAUGACAAAGGCAACGGAUGACGGCGACAGUUGGGUGACAUCAGCGGGCCAUGCGGUGGACUGUUGGUGGACGUGACGCCAUGCGGCUAAAGACGGUGGGGCAAAACAUGUGGGUGCCCAAAUGCUGUACAGCAGGGGGCUGUUGUACAUAGCACUGCAUAGCAGAACUGCCUUGCAGGGGGUUGCUACUUGUCCUUGGUUCUCAUGGGAUGGUGCAAGCAACUGCCCUCUGCCCCCACAACAGCAGCUUGCAAUCAGGCGCAGCCGCGCGCGGCAGGGCUGCUGGGCAUCCAGUCACGCAGCCGCACCCCCGGUCCUGCCUGGUCACAUCCGCCUGCCUAGCCGGCUUCCCAGGCGUUGCCCGCUCGGUCGCGUGGGGGCUUAUGGGCGUGAAGGAGGGCAACUGUGUGACGCGGCUGAGUUAACAGCUCGACAUGCAGUGGCGGGAAGCCCCCAUGAAGGCGCCAGCGCGUGGUGGGCUGCAGCCUUCUCCAGGGGAGGCCCUGCCUCCCAAGUGGCUGCGUGCGGUCGCCACCGCCCCAAGCUGCCACCAGUGCUCGUAUCUUGUAGAUGCCCUCAGGCACCCGGCAUCUACACAUGCGUAGAUGACCCUGACCGCGGCAUCUACACUUAAGCCCCCAAGCCCCCCAAAACGUCUACGCUUCCCCCAUUUUUGCGCCAAAACCGGCCAAAACUGUCUACACUGCGUAGAUGCGUGGCACCCAAACCCAAAAAUUUUUCUCCGCCUUCGGCGGAUUUUGGGCAGAUUUCUACAGUGUAGAUGGAAGAUACGAGCACUGGCUGCCACCUGCAUAAUCCUGUGCGCCCGCGAAGGGGCAUCAUGGUCUUGCAGCUGGUAGCAACGGGGAUGGGCACGCGACCCACGAGCGCGGAGGCUGCAGCGCACGGCGCCCCCGGUGCACCCGUGCUGGGCGCGAGCUUCUCCUAAGCCACGGUGUUGAAGCACAUGACUUGUGGCCUUGAGAACGCAUACAGCUGGAAUUGCCACGGAUGCGGCGACAUUGGGACUUGCCAGGUCAGCCAGGUCCAGGGGGGCUCCCUGGCCAGGUCAGCCCUGUCCAGCCCUUGCGUUACUGCGGUCCCCGCCUUCUCGGGUGCGUCCGUGCUCCAUGGACCUGCUGUCGCAUGUGCGAUUGUUUGGAAGGGCAAUUGCACAGCAGAGCGGCGGUGCGUCGGGGGGUGGGGUGGGAGCGGGGGGGCCGGGGGGGGGGGGGGGCUGGGCCGGGGCUGCGCUGGCACCGGAGUCCUGCACCGGGCCUGGGAUGAUCAUGUGCGCCCAUUCUGGAAGCCUAGCGCCACCGCGCCUGCUACAGUGUUUCGCACAAUCACAUCAGCAGCGAUAACUCUGACCCAAUCUCUCUCUGAAGCUAGCUAGCCCACGCGCUCACUCAGUAAGCUCUGUGAACUCUAAACCGUGCCUCCACGAAAAGGUUGUGCCUUUGGAAUGUUAUACCAACGUAUAGCAACGGAUGCGGACAGUAUAGAGUUGCAGCGCUGGUAAAGACGGUGGAGAACAAUGGGAAGUGCAUGCACAAAAGCAGGCCGGGAGGAAGCUGCCUUCCUCAAGGCGGCAAAGGAUGGUGACUGUGGACAAGUACAGCAGGUGCAGCGGGGCGGUGUCGCGGGAAGCACGUAAUUGAAUGCCGUUCAUGUAGCAGCGCGCUUGCGGAUGCGAUGAGUGGCUAGCUUCAUUUCAUAUUGCACAUUUCUACACCCCAACUCGCGCGGGGGGCGUUCGCAGAGGCCAGAACUUUAACCACCGCAUCAUGCUGGGCUGCCUCUCGCAGGCCAUCCUAAAGCACGUGGACUGGGGCUACAGGGCCCAGACGUGGAAUGGACAGAGCGUCUUCCACCUGGCAGCGCGCUAUGGGCGAGUGGACGUAUUGGAGACGGUGGUGGAGGCGGUCCGGUAUAAUCCCGCUGGACCGGACCAGUGGAAGAAGCUGCUACGGUGCGUUUUGGAAGUGCGAAGCGGGGAGGGACGACGAUGUUUAGCGUGGCGGGGCUCGGCAAGCGCAGGAGCCCGGGCGGGCCCGGGGGGCGAAGCGCGUGUGCGUGUGCAGGGUUUCGUGGGCAGGUUGGGCCGUACCUGGUUGCGCGUUCGUAGUUUUUUCCUGGGAGCGCGGAGUACGGCCCAGUAGAGCACCCCUCGCCCAGCCACACAGCGCCUGGCGCAAUCGCGAGCGGCUCGUGAGGCGAGCUUGCACGAACGGCGCUGCGCGCCUGCGGGGCCUGGGGUCGGGGUGGCGAAGGGAUGAAGGAUUUUGGAGAGAGGGGCGUGGCCAGCAGCCGGCCGGCACGGGGCAAGGGUGCCGCGGCCCAACCAGCCUCCAGAGGUUUGAUGUGGGUCGGGUCUGAAGCUGCACGCAGAUGCCGUGCUGUGUUCGGAGAUUGCGCAGCUAACGGGGUUGGCUAGAAGGAAAGGCAGGCAGUGCAAAGGCGGGUUGAGUGGGGGCGCCGCGCAGCAUGUUGGAAGGCGCCUGGGGGCUGACACACGGGCGCGAAUCUGAGGGGGCUGACGGAGCGGGUUGGCAGGGGGCUGUGGGGUAGGGGUGCCGGGCUGCGGGUGUCGCCGUGUCAGGUGGCAUGCGUGUGUGUGUGUGUGCCUGAUGCGUGGUCCAGCACCCGUGGUCCGCCGUGUGGCGCCGCGGCGCCGCCUGAGCUGUCCUCGCGGCCAGGCGGCCGGCACUUGUGUGCGUGUGUGUGUGGUGUGUGUGUGUGUGUGGGGGGGGGCUUGGCAGGAACCUAGGGCUCCAGUAGGCAUGAGAAUGAGCGCGCAUGGGGCGGCGCUCUCACGGCCGUCCCCCCGCCGCCCCCACAUCCCCGCACCCAAUCCCCACCCCAACCCCCUCCCCCACCGCAGGAUGGGCCACUCCACGGACGCCAUUCUGAAGGCCUACGCCAACCUGCAGGUGCGCGCGCGCGCGCGUGUGUGUGUGUGUGUGUGUGUGUGUGUGUGUGUGUGUGUGUGUGUGUGUGUGUGUGUGUGUGUGUGUGUGUGUGUGUGUGUGUGUGUGUGUGUGUGUGUGUGUGUACAAGCGUGGCACGGCGCUGUGUUAGGACACGAGGAACGGUGCCGUGUGUGCGUUGUGGGUGUCGGGCCGGGAAACAGACCGCGCCAUCAUGUGUUGGAAAAGCAUAAAAAGGGGCAGGGUCGGCAUUGUGCAGGCGAAUGUGCAAGCAAAGCGGGGGUAUCUUUACGAGUGUCCGUUCGUGGUGGGCUCUGGGCACGUGUGGGGCUGGCGCCGCGAACACUGCUGGCAGUGCGCCCUGUGAUGCCAGGGGCCGGGCGGCUGGCGGCGCUGUCGGCCUUGAGGGCUUAGCUCCUAGCUAUGUCCUCCCCGUCCUCCCGUUGUCUUGAGCCUUUGCCGUGUGGUCCGCUCCGCCUUCUCGCUCCACCGACCCAUCCUCUCCCGACUCCUCUGCGGUCGGUCAGUCAUUCAUGCUUAGAGCGCCUCCCGUCCCUGCCUGUUCUACCUCCCUGCCUUCCUACCGGCUCCCCUCCCCGCCUCCCCACCGCCUCCCUGCCUCCCCACCACUUCCCUCCCCACCACUUCCCUCCCCAUCACGUCCCCCCAUGCCCCCCCCGUCCCCCUGUCCCCCUGUCCCCCUGUCCCCCCCCCACCCAGGACGCCCGCUGCCAGACGCCGCUGCACAUCGCCUGCAUCUACGGCAAUGCUGACGUGGCGGCGGCGCUCAUCAAGCUGGGCGCCAUGCCCUGGGCCUGGGACGAGCUGGGUGAGGGCGUGGUGGAGGGAAGGGUGGGGGGGGGGGGGAAAGAGAGAGAGAAAAGGGAAGAGGGGAGUGGCAAGGUUAAGACAUUUGGGGGGAGGGGUAGCCGGUCAUGUGGAGAACGGGGUGGUUACAUCACAAGCCGACAUCCGUAGGGAGUCGAGAGUCUGGACACCCGACCCGGCCCCGCCCACAACCCACCCGCCCCUCCCCCCAGUGUUUUGACAUUGCAACUCCCUCUUCGCUACACUUCUCUGCACCAAUCCUUGCACCGGGAAGGGGUGGGGGAGAGUGAAGAGGGGGUCGCAAAGAUGGUUGGGGUGUAGCCGGUCAUGUGAAGAAACGGAAUGAGGUAAAGCAGUAUGCUGACGUCCGGAGGCUGGAGACCCGACCCGACCCUCCCACAUCCCACCACCUGCCCCCGUCUACCACUUCCUUAACUAGUCAUGCAUGUAACACCCCCCUCCCCCCAGGCGGCCGCACUCCGCUGCACUACGCCGCCAGCAUGGGCCACGUGGACGUCAUCCGGGCGGUGCUGGCCGCAGCCGGCCCCCCGCCCAGCGGCGAGGCGCUGCGGCGGCCCAACACCAGCCGGACCAAGUGAGGGAACCGGGGGAGGGAGGGAAGGAGGAUUUGGGAAAGGAGGGCGGAUUUGGGGUGGCAGGUGCCUGGGGCCGGGGAUGGGGGCGGGGGCGGGGGCGGGGGCGGGGACGGGGGGCGGGGUGGGGGGCGGGGAACUGGAUGUGGGCGCAUGGGGCGUGCGGCGGGGGAUGGGGGCCGGGGCUUGGGUGUGCUGUCCCUGACAUGUACACACACGCGGUCUGCAAACACAAACACACGAACACGCAUUGUGCUAUCCUAACACACAAACGCACACACUGCGCGCACACACAGGCUGGUGGACAUCUGCAACGACUCGGGCUACACGCCGCUGCACUACGCGGUGAGGGUGGGGUGGGUGUGGGGAGUGGGGUGGUGGGGUGGGUGGGGUGCAAUCCCAAAGAAACCAAGACCCAGAACCAGCCCUGGGGGUGGAGUGGGAGUGGGAGUGGGGCCGCACGGGCAGCUGUUACAGGGGGCAGGGUAGCGGGUGUGUGUAGCCCGCUUGGAUCGAUGGGCCCAAGAAUCCAAGGUGGGCAGAGGUGGCGAGGCGUUAGCCAUGAGCACCCCGCAAACUCAGCACAACCCGCCCACCCAUCCUCCCACCCCCUCUACCACUUCCUUAACUAGUCAUGAAUGUAACCCCCUCUUUAAUACACACCGUCGGCAUGAAUAGCUACCCCAUAACCAGUCGUGCACGCCCCCCACCCCUCCCGCCCUCCCCACUCCCAUUACCCGCACCCUCCCGCUCCCCCCCUCCUGCUCCCCCCUCUCCCCCCCCAAAAAGGUGUGGGCCGGCAACACCGCCUCCAUCCGCGCGCUGGUGAGCUACGAGGCGUCGCUGUCGGCUCGCAACGUGGCGUGCGGCAGCGACUGGGUGGUGUCGGCGCUCAAGUGCACGCCGCUGCACCUGGCGGCGCACAAGGGCAACGCGGCCGUGGUGAAGCUGCUGCUCAGCGCCUACGUGAGUGUUGGUGUGGAGGCGGGGGUGGGGUGGAGGGGGUGAGGGGGUGAGGGGGUGGAGGGGUGGGGAUGGGGGGGGGGUGUUCAGGGGGAUGGAGGGGGGGGGUUGGGGUGGAGGGGUGGAGGGGUGGAGGGGGGGUUUAGGCGUGGGGUUGAGGGGUUAGGGGUGGGGGCGGGGGUGGGGUUGUUAAGGGAUAGCGCUAGGGAGGAUUCACGCAGGGCAGGGCAGGUGGCUUGUGUUGUGGAGGGAGAGUCAGCUGCACGGUAUUUCCAAGUCGAGGCCCAGAACCGGAAACCACUCGCAAGCUUCGUCUGCGUCGUCACCAGUACCAGUUGCCUGACUCAGCCAUCCCCACAACCCCGUCCAUCCGCCCCCGCAGGUCCAGAGCCAGGUGCCGCAGGGCUCCGAGCCGCCGCCCGUGCACGACCGCCGCCGCCGCGACCCGCGCCGCCACGUCAACGCCGCCCGCCAACUGCCGUACCACGUGGCGGUUGCGCGCGGCCACAACCACCUGGCCGAGCUGCUACACCCCGACGUGCCGUUCAGUUUUAUUCUGUCGCCCGCCGAGAUGGAGAGUACGGCAAGGCUGUACGGCGUCACGAAACUUGCCGUACUGGCGGCCAAGGUCCUGCAGGCCAAGCUGGUGUCGGACAUUGACGAGGCGCUGGCGGCGCUGGCGGCGGCGCCGGGCCGCGGCGGCGGCGGCGCCGGCAGCGCCGCUGCCGCCGGUGGCGGAGGCCUCGGUGGCGGCGGCGGCGGCGGCACGUUCUCUCGGGCGCGGUCUGGGAGCAUAGCGGCGCUGAGCGGCGCGGUGGCGGCGGCGGCGGCGGCGUCCAUGCGCGAGCGGUCCGUGCAUGGCUCCGUGCACGGCGGCGGCGGCGCGCUGGGGGCGCUGGCCGGCGGCGUCGGCGGCGGAGGCGUGCCGACGGCAGCGGCGCUGGCGGCGGCGGCCUCCGCCAGCCUGGACGCAGUGCUGGCGGCGUCGGCGGCGGCCGCCGGCAAGGAUCCGGCACGGAUCCUGGCGGCGCGCGCGUCACAGGAGAAUGCUGCCGCCGCCGGCGGCUCGCCGGCCACCGCCAUAGCCGUCAGCCCGGUCGCGACCGCCAUGGCGGCGGUCACAGGCGCCGGCGCGGCGGCGGCGGCGGCGGCGGCGGAGGCCAACGGCCAAGGCGGCGGCGGCGGCGGCGGCGUGAAGGGGGCGUCUGGGACGUCGUCGUCUCCGCCGUCGGCUGGGUCGUCGGGGGAUGCGGACCCGCUGACUGUGGAGCCCAUGCCGGUGCGUGGGGGCGGGCGUGGGGGCGGGUGCAUGGGGGUGCGGGAGAAGGAGUGGGUGCGGGUGCGGGGGCUGGCGGUUUGCGCCCUUCCCAUGAGGACUGAGCAUGGGUGGGGUCGGGUGCGGGCGUUGGGGCUGCCCAGCCAUGGGCGGUGUUGCGUUUGGGAUUGGGAGCUGGGCGCUUGCGCCGUGUGCUGGGACUGUGGGUUCCGCCUGUGCUGAGCCGUUUGCCGGCAGCUCCGCAGCUCCGGCAACGCCACCACCGGACCGUGUACGCACCACCACCACCGCCUGCUCCCGCGCACCACUGACCCCUCCUCCUCGUGCGGGCGCCGCUCACUGACGUCACACGCACACACCACUGACCCCUCCUCUGACGCCCCCCGCACACACAGGACGCCAUCGCGCGCGCCCGCGCCUCCGGCGAGCCCCUGGGUGCCGCCGCCGCCGCCGCCGCCGCCGCUACCGGCAUCAGCGCCCAACCGUCGCUGGGCCAGCCCGGCGCAAGUGCAAGUGCAGCAGCACUGCACAGCCCCGGUGCUACCAGCCCCGCCGGCGGCGCGCAGGCGGCGCCGCUGCCGCUGCCGCCCGCGCCCCUGUCGCCGUUCCUGCCGGCGGCUGGCGCCGCCGGCGGCCUUUCGGCUCCCACCUUCAACGACGGCGCCUCCGCCUUCGCCAUGUUUGCCGCGGAGCCCUUCGACGACCCGGCUGCCGCCAAGGCGGCGGCGGCGGCGGCCGCCGCCGCCGGCCAGACGCCGCCGCUGGCGGCGGCGGCCGCUGCGCCGCCGCCGCCGCCGGGCACUGGGCCGCUGCCGCUGCCGCCCGCUGGCAGCCUGGCGUCGGCGCAGCGCAACCGGGCGCAGGUGGUUGCGGCGGGCGGCGGCGGCGGGAGUCCCGACCCGUCGGCCUCGGCGGCGGCCGGCGCGCGGCGGAGCCGGCUGCUGGGCGGUGGCGGCGGUGGCGGCGCCGCCGCCGCAGCAGGCGCCAACGGCGUCGCUGCCAAGGUGCGCGAGAGCGUGUGCUUUCUUUUCGGCGCCUGGGGUCGGGCAGGUUGUGGUUCGAGUCAGGGUAAUUUGGGCAAGCAGGGGGGCACCCCGUCCCACCCUCCGAAUGCGGGUCGGUAGUCGCAUGCAUGAUACGGUAAAGGUCCCUUGAUGGAGUUUUCCCGACCCGCUCAUUACGCAUGUGCCCAUGUACCCCGUGGGCCGCACCGCACGCAGGCGCCCGGCCGCUCCCGCAGCCUGCGUAGCCUGCUCACGGGCGGCCGCCAGCGCCGCGCCGGGCCGGGGCUGGGCACGGUUGGCAGCGGCCGCGUCGGCGGCGGCGGCGGCGGCGAGAUGGGCAUUGCGUCGGACCAGGUGGGGAGGGUUCGUGGGAUUCAGCAGGGCUGCCGAGGGGGUUUUGUUGUGUUUUGUUGGGGGCGGGGCGGGGCGAGGCGGGGCGGGGCGGGGCGGGGCGGGGCGGGGCUGGGCUGGGCUGGGCGGGGCGGGGCGGGGCGAGGCGAGUGGCAGGAGCAGGGUUUCGUGUGUGCCCUUUUUGACACUACGAUGUCAUCUGACACUUAUAACUUCGCUGACGUGGUCACAGGACCUGGAGGACGCGGACGAGCUGGAGGACAUCCUGUUCGCCAUCCAGCCACACGACCAGGCAGAGGCAGCCGCCGCCGCAACCGCCGCCGCCGCCGCCGCCGCCGCCGCCGCGGGCGCCGCCACGCCAAGCGCCGCGCCGGCCCUGGCCCCCGGCCCGGUGCCGCAGAAUCCGGAGGGCUCGGUUGCUGGCGGCGGCGGCGGUGGCGGCGGCGGCGGUCUGUGGGGCCGCCGCCGGACCGGCGUGGCGCCGUCGACAGGCGGCGGCGCCGGCACGGAAGCCGCGCUUCUAGCCGAGGCCUCCCGUAGCGGCCGCGGCGUGCGACAGCCCCACCCAGGCGCCGCGCCGGACUCGCCGCAGGCCGGCCGCUCCGUUCGCGGCGGCGGCUUCUGGCGGCGGCGGUCCGGCACACUGCCCGCGCCGGCGUCGGCGGCGGCGUCGCCGCCGCCAGCGGCGGCGCCGCUGGCGGUGGCUGCCGCAGACCCGUCCUUCCACACGGAGCCCAGCGGCCACGAGGCGAGCCGGCAGCUGUCUUUCCAGGGCGCCAGCGGCGCUGCCUGCAGCGCGGCCGGCGGCGCUACUGUGCAGCCGCUGCCCGACGCCGCCAGCAUCAUCCGCUCGCGUCUGUCCAACGACGCCGCCGCCGCCGCCGCCGCCAACACCAGCGGCGGUGCGCCCGCCAGCCCGACCACGGCGGCGGCGACGGAGCGCAUCGCCGCCACCAUCGCAAACCUGGCGGGCGCCGGCGCAGCCGGCGGCGCAGCCGCCGGCACCGGCGGCGCCGGCGGCGCCGCCGCCGCCAUGGAUCUGGAUCGCGCGGUGGCGGCGAUGCUUGCCAACCUGGCGGAGGCGCCGCAGCAGGUGCUGCGCCGCUACCGGCUGCUGCAGCUGACGCAGGGCGUGGACCUGCAGGACCUGCUGCGGGACCACCAGGAGCUGGCGGCGGCGGCGGCGGCGGUGGACGCGGCGGCAGCGGCGGCGGGGCUGCCGCCGGCGGCGGCAGCCGGCGGCGCAGCCGGCACAGCCGGCGCGGCCGGCGCCGGCGGCGCCGGCGCGUACGCGCCGGCACAGCCGCCGGCGGUGCUUGCGAGCGCGCUGCAGCGGGCGCGCUCGGACGCAGAAGGGCUGAUGCGCGGGGCGGUGGGGCAUGGCUGGGUGGACCGGUCCUCCCGCGCCGGCGGCGGCGGUGCCGCUGGCGCCGGCAGCGGCGCGCUGCAGGGCCAUGGCUCCUACCGCGUCGGCGGCGGAGGCGGCGACGCAUCCGCCCGCGCCGGCUCCGGCGGCGGCGGCGGCGGUGGUGGCGGCGGCGGCGGUGGUGGCGACGCGGCGGGCGGCAGCGCUUUCCUGGAGCACCGGGUCACGUGGCACGGCCGCGGGGGGCCCGCAAUGGCAGACACGGCGGUGCCGCUGGGCGCGUCGCCGCCAAGGGCGCUCACCGCCGGCGGCGACGGCAAUACUGGCAGCGGCGGCGGCGGCGGCGGCGGCGAUGGCCUGACGCCCGCCGCCACCGCCGUCGCCGCGGAGCUGAGCCCCUUCGCCUCGGUGGCCGCGGCGGCUGCGGCGGCGCCCUCCCCGGUGCCGGCGCCAGCCGCCUGCCACGACCUGCUCGCCUUCACGGCCCCCGUCAUGCCCACCUCGGCCUCGGAGGCGCAGCCAACGCCGGCCGGCGCAGCCAGCCCUAGCACCGCUGCUGCCGCUGCAGGCGCAGCCGCGUCGCCGUUUGCCGCCGCGGGGAUCCUGACGCCCGCCGCCAGCGGCACUCCCGCCAGCGCCGCGGAUGCGGGCGGCCGCACCCUGUCCCGCCAGCCCACCGGCACAGGCUUCGCCGCCGCUCCCGGCGCCGCCGCCACUGCCGCCGCCGCCGGAGGCGCCGGCGCCGGCGCCGCCAUGGCUGGGACGCUGCUGCGCGCGCUGUCGUCGCAGGCCGCCAGUGAGAGUGGCGAGGGCGUGUGCGGCGUGUGCUUUGACCAGCCCGACGUGCUGGCCGUGACGGGCUGCGGGCACCGGCUGUGCACGGACUGCAGCCGGGAGCUGUGCAAGCUCAACACCUUCAAGCCGGCGCUGUGCCCCUUCUGCCGCGGCCUCAUCGGCGGCUUCAAGCUGGUGAAGCAGUGAGCGGCGCGGCGGCUGGCAGAGGUUUGGGGGUGGGGGCGGAGGUGUAGGAGGUGUAGGUGGAGGCGGGGGUGGGAGCUGCAGGUGUUGGCUGGAAGAAGACGCGCGGCGACGUGCCGCGCGCGUUCAGAAAAGGGCUAGGGGGCCGUGGAGGUGGACGAAGUGGUGGUGGUGGUGGUGGUGGUGGGGCAGGGGCCGCGGAGGGAUGGGAUGCAGGAGCGCAGGAGGGGGUUCAGGGAGCAGCAGGGGGCGCGCCGCCAUUGCGGCUGCAGUACAGGCCUGGCAUGCACGUGCAUGACGUUAGGCAUAUCACAUGAUGGCAGACAUGCAGGCGGGCGGACAGAGCUGGGGUUGUGUGACUGGGCUUGUGGCCUCAGCGGGCCAGGCCGCAUCUGUUAGUCAGGGUGGGGCAAGGGGAAAGGUGAGGCGACCGGGGAGAAAGCAUGGCUGAGGCUGCUGCUGCUGUGGCGGUUGGGCACGCAACGGAUCCAAAUCCACACACGUGUGUAUGCAUAUGGCAGCUGAGGUCCCGGGGCAGGGGGUGAAUUUCUAUGCGUUUGGCGAUGCAGACCUGCUCUCCGUGCUGCUGCUCGCCCCUGCCCAUGCAUCAGUAUGUGUGACUUUCGUAGGCCAAGAGAGAUCGAGGCGUGCCACGCCGCGCAUUCAAUUAUUUUGCGGUUGCGGCCGUGUAUUUUGGGCUGAUUCUAACGGGCCUGUUUUGAUUUACGUUAUGCUAAUGCCGUGCAUUCCCGAGCGCUUCGCUCCAGAACAAGUACGAUGCAAGCCACUGUCGUUGUGGGUCGCGCUUCUGCUCUCGGCUUUCUAUUGCGUUUUGCAUAACUCGUGGGGGCCUCUGGUGCAGUCUGCCCUGGCAGAGCCGGUCCCGGCGCUCACAUUACAUAACGUGCUCCAGUUGCUUUGCCGGCGCACUGCAAACAGGCUUUUGCAAAAUUGCUGCGCUGUCUAGGCCACGAAGUGACGACGAAAGCAGACGGCUGCGUGUGUGGGACCCUGUGUUGAAACAUUAACGGAAGAAAACCGCCCAGAUGCCGGAGAUACUGGGGCCGUGUGUGAGUGCGUGUUUUGCAUUUGGGGUAUUAUCUUUGCGGGCACUGCCGCCGCCGCUGCCGCGCGGGCGGCAGCAGCUUGGCCUGGCUGUGUGGCGGCAGGGCCCUCCAGGGCUGCUCGGUGCGGGGGCAUGGCAUCCUGGGUUGCGGCGAGGCAGACACAUUCAGUGUGGGGGAGUGUAGCGCAGCACAGUGAGCGGUCUGUAGGCUGUGUGACGCGGCGCACGGCGUAAGUCGAGGCGGCGACGGAGGAUGCGCUGCGGGAGUUUGCGCCCAGUGCGCACCGUGACCAGCUGCGGUGAUGCGCAGAUAGAUGAUUGGGCAGAUGGCGGGUACAGGGAAUGGGGGGCUCCAGUGGCGUAUCGCACACGGGCGGCAAUGUUUGGAGCAUGCAGGAGGCGGAGGGACGAGGCAGGGACCGGCAUAACGACCUGUCGCAUUGCGUGCGACACAGCAUCAGAGCGCACCAAGAGGUGGCGCAUGGCGGAAGCAUGAGGGGAGGGGACGCUGCCUCCGUGUGAUUCAUGUAAGGUAGGCUGGAGCGCCCAGCGUGCGAAAUGGGCGGGAUUGCUGUACGCGGCUGGGCAGGUGUGGGGGCUGGACGCGCCUGCCCCUCCCGGCCCUGAUGGCCAGGGGUGCUGAUGGCCGCCCCAACCGGGGAUGGGCCGCGGUUCCAGACAUGCCCGCGCAGUGUCGAUAGCUACCCCAGCCACAUCUGAGCAGGUGUGAACACAGGUCGAGCCCCGAUGUGAGCAACCCGCCACGGCACAGCUCAACGCGGACCUGUCGGCUGUCGCAUACCCUGACUGCGGCAUCAUCAUGACGUCCCGGUGCUACCUCCCUGGGUGCUAGCUCAAGCCUACAACCCGCUGCAACCCUUAAAGCAUCUUCGAUAACCCGGUGUUUCCGCCUUGUUUGGCUCAGCCAGGCUCAGCACAGCCCAGGUCUCCCCACCCCAGCCCCUUGCAUGUAUGCUUAGUCCGGCUGGGGCUAUGUGUCAGCUUUCUAAGAGGGCGCAUGCACCAUGUCCGCCAUGGCCAUCCCACUCCUUCCCCGCCAGCUUUACCCUGUUCCACUGUCCGCCCUUCUUUGGGAACCCACGUGUCACACUGAUGAGUAACGGAGCGCGCUAAAGCUGACAAGCUGCCUGCUGCUGCGCUGGCUGCUGCAUCGUGGGAAGCCAACGGCCAGAGCUGUGAGUUCUGCUGCGCCCGACAGCUGGCACUUUGAUGCGAAGUCUGCUGCCAUGCAAAGCUGUAACCGCUGGCUUCAGAUCGUUGCAGUGCUGCACGACUGGCUGUUGCUGUGCAGUCCUGCCGCUGUUGCUGUAGCUGCGUAAGAGCACAUGCAAGCAGCAAUUGCGCAAACCCCGAACCCCAUCCGAAAGUCAGAGCCCCCACGCGCCAACACCGCAUGACAACACGCCCGACGAGUCAACCGGCCGCACGCGGGGACAGCAACACACGGGCACAACAUCGACGCACAAUUGGGGCAGCACCGCAAACGCCAACCGCGGCACGCCACGCUCACGCUUCAAUCACGCCCCGCUGCCCUUCUUCGGCACAACCCCACGCGGACCAGCGGGACGGCCCCUGGCCUGCUGCAGAGCGGCUGCUUCCCCAACCCCUGCUGCUGGCCGUGCUGGUGCAGGCGGCGUCGCUGCACGGGCCCAUGCAGCUCGCAGCGACCGCCGCCGUGAUGCGCUCACAGGUGGGGGGCACCGGCGCGUGAUGAACAGACACGACUGUCGCCGGCGGCAGCGCACCCGCGGCACAUGGCAGCGGGCGCGGCGGUCACACGGAGUAAACCGAGCCGCGGUGCCACACUCCGCCACGACCGCAAGCAGCACUUGCCGCCGCCGCCCACCUGCCGCCCAUGCGGCCGCCGCAUCGCGCGGCGCCGUGACGCCCUUGGCUGCGGCUGCUGCAGCUGCGCAAGCCCCUCUCCCUGUCCCUGCCCCCUCCGCUGCAGCGCUCGGAUCGAAGGCUACGGCUGUGACUGGCAGGAGCUGACUGGCGGUGCUGCGGGGCAGCAGGUUGCAAGUGCUGCGCCGCAACCGCGACCGCAGCUGGGCGCCGCCGUUGCAACUGCGGAAUAGCACACGGCCAAAUCAACUGCAUCCGCAUGCUGCAUGCCGCCACGGCGGCCAACUCGCACCACUGUCGCAGCACCACGCCGCCUGGACAUUGCUGCUGCCGCUGCAGAAGCCGCUGCGAUCCGAAGCCCCCGAGCCUGCGCGCGCUCGGAACGCCUGAGCUGCCGGCCGCCCGGCGCGGCCCUGCAGUGCACUGCGACUGUGGCGAGUUUCCUAUGCUGCCGCUGCUGCUGCCGCCACUGCUACAGCAGCCGCCCUGCAUCUGCGCAGCAGCCGCUGGCCGCCAGCACACGCCCGCCGCCAGUCCGCGCAUGGCUAGUGCACCCUCGCCCCCCCGGUGAUCAACCCAUGGCCCGCUGCUGCUGCUGCCGGUCCAGGCCCCCGUGGUCCCCGCUGAGCACCGCCGUGGCUGCUGUUGCUGCUUAAUGCGCCAGCGUCUCAAUCCCAGCCGCCUCGCCUGCCGCCGCCGUUGCUGCUGCCAUUGCGCCCAAGCACAACGGCCGCGCCGCGCGACUCAUCCGCCAGUGACUCAUCCCCAACCCCACGCCGAUUCCACGCAGCCGGCAGCCGCUCACGCUGCCGUGUAAGCUGCCCGGUGUCCGCACAACACCGCUCCCGACCACACACGAUGCAACGCCACGCACGACCGCACACACGCACCCAACACGCUCAAAACGCACCCACGCCGACGCCCGCCCGCACGCGUUCGUCCCCACCUUGGCUCGUCCAGGCCCCUCCACCUUGCCCCCUUACUCACCUUGUGAGACGAUACCCGCACAUGCACCACAGCCGCUCACGCUGCCGCUGCUACGAUAGCCAACUGCAAAUACUGCGCUAUUACACCUGCUGCUGAAUGUAAGCUGCGUCAGAGUAUUGCUGGUGCUGGUGCUGCUGCUGCUGGUACCGAGGCUGCUGCAAGACAGACACGCACACCCGCUGCUGCUGCUGCUGUCGUCCCCACGACGCGCUGCCAAACCCCAACACGACCACCGGCGGGACCUAGGGCUCGAGAAUUUUCUUAAUUUUUUGACGUUACACACGCGAACGUCGUCUUCCCGCAGGUGCAGCUCCGACUACUGUUCCUAGCUCCAAAGCGGCGGGGGUUGGGGCGGCCGGCCGCCCCCGGGGUCGGGCCAGCCCCCCCCGCCGCUGCUCCUGCGCCUCUCCACGCUUCCAGCUUCCAACCCCUGCGCGCGCCUGCGGCCGCUCGCCAGUCCCAAGGCUCCGAUGCUGCUGCUAGCUCCCGCCGAGGGCGCUUAGAACUUCAUCAGGUGCGGGCGGUCGCCGUCCUUCAGGGUGAAGCGGGUCGACAGGUAGCCCUUCAGGUCGGCCGACAGGGCCGGCAGCAGAGCGGCGUCCAGGGUCUUCUGGUUGGCGAUGUACUCCUGGCUGAGCACGUUCUUCUUCGCCUCCGACUGGUCGAAGAACUCCUUCUCGCCCUUCUUGCUCGACUUGCUCUCCACCGCCUUGAAGUAGCUGUCCGUGAACUUCGACAGGUCCAGCUUGGGCAGCGACACCUUGGUGCUGGUGCCAAUCACGUACGCGGCGUUGACGCGACGCACCGGCACACCGUUCAGCUUGAACGGGCCGGUAACGAGCAGCAGGCCCGAAGGCAGCUGGCCCAGGAAGAUGACACGCUUGCCCUUGAAGCGACCGGCCAGCAGAAUCAGCACGGUGCCUGGCGUGAUGCUGGCGCGCAGCUUGGUCUGCUUGUGCACAGCGUUGUGCGACAGAGGCUUGGGCACAUCAUCGGCGGGGUAAAAGCGGGGAGCCUUGCCCUCAGCCUGCUUGGCCACAGCCUUCUUGGCGGGCGCGGGGAACUUGCCGCCGUUCUUCUUCUUGAUCGCCCACAGACCCUUGCGCCUGCAGACAGAGAAGCGGCGGUCAGCAUUGCGGCGGCGCCCACACAGCCGAAGAGUGCGCUAUAACUACACAGGACGCUUCAACCUGCAAAGGUAUACAGGUAAACAUUGCGAGGGCCGCCGGCAACAAGCAACCCGCCGGAAAUGCGCUCACUUGUAGGUCUUGGCCCGGCCCUCAGCGGUGAUACCGCGGGCAACGAAAGUGGCGGGCUUGGCCAUGGUGCUACGUCCACCUGCUGAAAGAGAGAGAGUGGUGUUCGCCUGCCGCUGUGAAGGGUCUCGCGAGUCACAUUGCAUGGGGAAUGGGGGCGGCCGGCAUAGCCCACAUUUCCCAAUCCUAUGACGCUAAACUGGCUUUAUAUUAAUACCUUAAUACAAUAGUUGCGACAGUGAGGCUCUCUGAGGGCUAGUAGACCUAAUCGCGACCAGAUUUCUCCCGCAAGGCCGCUAUAGUAUCCGUUUACGCAUAGGACUAGCGUCAUGAGACGUAAUGGACUGUCGCCAAGCCAUCGUCCAGGACUUUCUGCGUCGGAAGCGGUUUCAGACACUCCCCAGCGUGUGCCUCCCCCACACGCCACUUGGCGGGCCGACGGCAACCGGUUCCUUUGCCCCUCUGCGCUGCAUUGCGAACAUGCCGGCGGCUGUACCUGCUCCCAGAGACUCACUCUUGGUUCAUGUGUGUGGGUGGGUUGCAGGGGUUGCAGGGACAGCAGGCUGUGAUGGCGCAGGCCGUUGCCUGGGGUCCCGCAACGGCAGUAGACAUCGACUGCAGGCCACCUACGCACAACAGCGCAGCCCAUCUCCUCUUGACAGGCUGGUAUCGCUGCUACGGUAGCCUUCUGCUGUGGCCAACUCAGCAUGCAAGAGCCUGGUCGCUGCAUCGGGGCUCAGGGUUACCCCGCGUGUGGCUGCAACGCUACCGUUCCGGGCUCGUGGCGCUAGCCCGACCGCGGCCUUCCCCUCCCCAGUGCAACCCUACACGCGCCCCCUUUCCGUCUGGCAGGAUGCUACGCAGCCCAUCACGCCUCACGCCCUGCGCCUUGGCUUCCCCAUGCAGGCAGCAGCGCUGCGCGCGGCAGGAUGGCUGGCGCCGGCGCCUCGCCGCCUUUGCAGCGCCCGCCUUUGCAGCGCCCGCCUUUGCAGCGCCCGCCUUUGCAGCGGCUUGCCAGGGCUGGGGCCUGCCAGGGCUGGGGCGGCGCCGCUGGGGCCACUCCCUCGCGCGCGGGCUGUCGCUGGCGCAGCGGCACCUGGCACAGGCACUGGCUGCGCGGGCACCGGUGCCGCAGACCGGGGCGGGCAGCGCGCGCAUGUGUGUGUGUGGGCCCCCACCGAGCGGCUGCCUGUGGGAGGCGGAUGCGGCCGGGUGUGCACGUGUGUUCAGACGGCAACGCCGGAGUAGCUGCGCCCACCGAGCUGCCCCCCGGGCGGCACGGUGCUCAUCGCGGGAUGCACGGCACACAGCAAGACACGCCGUACCGCACGACAUGCAGUACCGCACCGUGCCGGCCGAGCCCUAGCCCGGGAGCGGGACAUGCAACGCGGCGGUGGCUGCGGCGGCCUGGCGGCGGUGGCGCUAGGCAGCCUGGCGGGGAAGCCGCUGCGUUCUGUUCGUGCUCGCUGCGGCAUGAGGAUGACUGCGCCCGGUGGUUCUCACCGCCAUGCUCAACCUCGUGUCGCUCAUGCGCCUACGCUCAGUGCCUGUGGUGGUGCGCAGGCGCUUAGGGACGUGGGCAGGCGGGGAUCUUGGGCGGCGCUGGGAGAAGCUGCACGGGAGGCGGAGGGUAUGGCCACCCAUGGGCAUGGCAGGGCAGCUGGGGGCCGUUGCACCCGGCGCCAUUGCACCUGUGCCGGGCGCUGUCCAGCGUGCUGGUGUGGGCCCGGGAAAAGCCGCCAUUACACACACACACACACACACACACACACACACACACACACACACACACACACACACACACACACACACACACACGUGCAUUUGCCGUCAUGCAUGCGCCCAUGCCGUCCCCCGCCUGUUUACUUGCUCGUGGUCGCCCACCCUCCGUCUCUUUCCUAAAUCGCGCAACCCCUAGUAUAGUUAAUUGGGCUGGGACUGGGCUGCGUGUUUGCUCUUGCUCGUCGCGCGCCGCCGCGCUAACAUGUUCCUUCGCUCUUGUUCGUGACACUCCCCUGCUGCCGCCCUGUGCUCUGUUGUUUUCUUAUUCGCUCGUAGGUGAGAAUUUCAUCGAGGAUUGGGCGGGAGCUUGGACUUAGCGGCCAGGAGUAGCGACGCGGAGCUAGGAAUUGUAGGAGUGCUUGGGCCUCACGGUACCGUGAGCACAUGCAUGGGUUUGCACCCUUGAGAGCGUGUGGACACUAAUCCCCCCUCGAGGUUAGAGUAGCGGGGGUUGCGCGAUUUCCGGUUGGUAAGACCGGCGGCUCACCGCAGCAGGUAUGCGAGGUAACUUCAGGUAACAUCCGUAAACCGUCGCUUUGCUGCAUCGCAUACACUGUCUUUGCGCAACGUUUUCCUUGUGCUCUUUAACACACACACACACACACACUGCAUCGCAUACACUGUCUUUGCGCAUCGUUUUCCUUGUGCUCUUUAACACACACACACACACACACACACACACACACACAUUCACCGUCGCUUUGCUGCAUCGCAUACACUGUCUUUGCGCAACGUUUUCCUUGUGCUCUUUACACACAUUCACACACACAUUCAAACACACAUUCGUUUUUAGUGGCGAGUCUUUGCGCUUUGUUCUGGUGCUCUUUGAAAUACAGCGGCCCGCGCUCCAAACCUGCACGUGUGCCGCUGUCAGCUGUCCGCUAGCAACUUGCCGCGGACGCCGCCGUGUGUCCCUACUCCCUACACGGGCACGUGCUGAUUACCGUGCCGGGGAGGUGCGCUGAUCGUGCCCACCUACCCCGCCUACCCGCCCCGCUUGCCUCCACACCACGGGCGGCCGGGCGCUUGGCGAGCGGCCAGGUGCGGUGGCCUGCGGCCACCCUCCAUGAUGCCCUGCAUCAGUGCAUGCUAUGGCCUAAGGCGGCGCGCCGGGCUAGGGGCCCACCGUGGGGCUCACCCCAAGCUCACUCAGGUCUUAGGUGCUCGCCGCCUGUACGUGUUCCCGUGGUUGGCCUGCGGCCCUGCGGGCUACGGCCCCGCCCCCACAUGAAGCUCUUCACUUCCUCAGCCCCCCCCCAAAGUGCCACCGGGUGCCUUCAACACGGCAGCACCCCUGCCUUGCAAAGGACUCUGUGGUGAUGGAGUGACUGAGGGACUGGACCCGCGGACAAAAAGCGCUUUGGCUGGCAGCCAGUGCCUUCAGAGGUCCAGACCGUGGCUUGGUGUGUGUGGGGCACACGCUUGCGGCGUGAUGUUAAGGCUUGGAAGCUUGCGGAGUGCGUGGAGUGCGCCGCGCGGGGGCCUGGCUGAACCUAGCACUCCCAAUGUGGUAAACGCAGGUGGGUCGUGUCCAUCUGUCACCUCUGGCCUCCACUCUCAAACAUGUGCACAUAAUUAGCCUGCACGGCGUGGCUGAAAGGUACAUGGCCAUAAGCCCCCUGCAAGUUGGAGGGUGGGGGCUGGUUCGCAGGGCCGAGCCAGGUCCCGCUGCGCGCGUCGGCGCGUGCUUCCGACCCACACGCGACACGCAACCCAGCCUUGACCUGCGCUGACCCUGUGGCCAACUGUUGCGGCGGGGUCCCGCGGUUCAGUCACUGGGUGCUCAGGCUGAAAGCAAAUCGCUCCUAAUCAGUAAGCAUGAGGGUUCUCUCCUCGGCAUGUGUAGCGCUGAGAUGCUGGCAAGAACGCUGCCAAACGCAUGCAUUGCAGUUGCACGGCUUGCCUUUAACCCUCACCAAACUUCUUGCCUUCAUAGUUACGUGUGCAUAUAACUCCCUGAUUAGAGGAGCGGCCCAGGCUGUUUCCUGCUGCUUCGCUCCAGGACUCGAGCGCGCCAACUGCAGAGCCCAACCUCGCGAGCCAGGCAUGUCGUGUCUAUGGCCGUAGCAACCUUUACUCCAUUAUUCAGCUUUGUGUAAACGCCUGUAGCUGACUAAACGGCUAUCUCCGUGCUCCACGCGUGCAGGCCAGCAUGCCAGCGGGUGAGCGGCCCAACGCGGGCCCUGGUGGCGAUGCGUCCGCGGCUAAGGCGGCAUCUCAAGGAGGGCAGCAGCAACAGCAGACCACGCCGGUCCUGAGCUGGAACGGGGAUACGCAAGUGGCCAUGUUCAUCACGGUCCUGCUGCUCCUUAACCUGAUGAAAUGGGUAGGUUAAACUGUUCUUGAGCAGCCUCUGGGUGCUCAUGUGCAGCGUGCAAUUGUGGCGACAAGUUUGCUGCCGGGCCGCUGCGUCGGCCCUUCCCAUGUCCGCCACCUUCCGCUCCUCCCCCGUCUGCCCCGCUUUACAGGCCAUGACCCCGCCAUGCACUUGCUGAGCAGCAAGCAGCUGGCCGCGGCUGAUGCCUCGGCCGCAGCGCUGGCUGGCUCCCUGCCUGCGCCCCGCGGCUGCGCAGGCGAGCCACAGCAGCAGCAGCAGCGCAGCAGCAGCAGCAGCCGCGUGGCUGUACGAUUGCAAACUGUACCAUAAUCUGCUGCGCGCAGACGACCGAAGCAGCUCUACUGUUUAUAUUAUUAUCUGUGCCUCCUGGCACCUGCUUGUGGCGGGUCCUAUUGUGGCGCUGCUGCGUGUCCGGUGCGGGGGGGAGGGGGGCCGCGCGUGUGCUGCCAGUCGGUUGCACGAUGCCUGAUAGGUCCGCUGCUAAGGUUACUUGGCGCAGGGCUGCUGGGGGGUUACAGCGGAUGGUUAAGAUGGGCGGCCCGCGUGGGGCGGGGCAGGUGUGCCGCAGCCGCGCCGUCACCAGCCACCACCCGCAGCACCUGCGCUGGAGUACCCACGAGAGUGCGGGAAGAAAUGUUGUCAGUACCCAUGGUGUGAUUCUAACCGUUAUAUUGUAUUGGGUGUUGGGUGCCACCGUGUGCUGUCCAUUGUGCUGGUGUUCGCUGGCAGCACAGCCAAGAGGCAGCGUUGACAGAAUGACUGAGAGAUGCAUCCGUCGCACCCAGCAGUGACCCUUGACAGAUUACGUUCGAUGUGCUUUCCUCCGACACCUCCUUGUUACCUUAACUUGUUGCACAAUGACAGCGUGAGAUGCAUGCUGGAAAUGCAGGGACCGCAAAGCAAUGUUGGACUGUUGCAGUAGCGUAGGAGCAGGUAGAUGCACUGGCAUCGUAGUGUGAGGGCUCCUUACAUCCGGGUAUCGGCAGGUCACAGUUCUGGGUGUUGCAGCUGCUAGUAUGUAAUGCUACCAGAAUCACGUGCCGACUCGUCCACUUUCCGUGGGGAGCUCAAGGACUGGCCGUGGACGGAGUGCGUUCGGCUGAGAGCAGUGUUUGCAGCACGACAGCAGCAGGGCGGGUCAGGGGUCAAGGGUGCCCACAAGUGGCCCUCCGUGUACUAGUGUGUACUCCAGUGGCGAGGUCAGGGUGUGUGAGGCCGGAGCCUGAGUGCCUGACGCACAGCAAUAUGGGCAUAACGGUUAGCCCGCCCAACAGCCACUCCCAGCCCUCAACAGGCCACAAAGCCAGCAGUCUUCAUGCACGUGACCAACAUUCACGCAUGGAGAUGUACUUGUGUUGUGCCAUGUAAAACGCACGCGGCGAGCCGUUUGCGGCGCCAAUUGCAACGCACAUUGCAAACCUGUACAAGGAAGGCGAGGCUGGGGCCCCAAGCUAGCCCAACGCACACAAGAACGCACACACGAAACACGCCCGGCACAAACCGCUUAACCUAUUUCCGUUUCUGGCCCGACGUUCCUUUAGCGGGUUACACCUUAACUCAACCUGCCUUAUACCCUGUCCCAUCGCACGUUGCUUCGUUUUGCACGGUGGCCAUGUCCGCAGUGAGCCCGGACUGUAGGUCCGCCCCGCUCCGCCCGGCACUUGCCAACGGCUCCUUACCCGUGCCCACGCUCACUCCACACUCCACAUUUUGACUCCCCGCGCCUCAUACACACCUUGCUCACACGGCGUCAGCAGCGCCCACGCAUGCCUCCGACAAAAUUGGGCUCCGCGCUCGCGGCUCUGCUGCGUACAGCAAUGGCCCUGCGGCGUGCCUGACGCCGACAGCCAAUCCGAAACUGCACGCGCACAUCUCAUUUGGCACUUGAGCAAGCACCAUGCGACCCCGCAUUCGUUCAACCAGUCUUCCAAAUUGCACGCCUCAUAUUCCUCACCCCGCGCUUGGUUCACCCCAGUCCCCCAAGGCAUCGCGUGCCGCCCUUGCGGCGCCCGCCCUUGCGGGCCCCAGACCUUCAACACUCGGCCCCCACAGCACCCGGGCCCGCCCAACAGCCCCUCUGCAGCGGCAGGCCACUCGGCCGCCGCGCGCACACGCUCAAGCACACCUAUCUAGCUUCGCGCUUCGCUUCCUAACACCCCUUAGGUAUUACAACUACGUACCCGGGAGCAACCCACGGCCGUGCAGUCACACCGCCGUGAUUUCAUAGCACGUCCGACACUCCAACGCGCCACUACACAAACAGCAAACAACACCAAGUCCCAGUCCAACUCCUCUAUAUAGCAUGUAAAAAGAAGACGGCCGCUUCCCGGCAUUAACAACUCACGAGGGAAAAGGAUUUAGUGCUCAUCCCCUCAGCGCCAAGCUGCGGGCCGCAACCCAGCUGCUACUGAGGACCUCUUCAGCUGCAGAUCUCACAGCAGCUCAGCUUUGCGGAUCUCUCCAGCAGCAACUCAGCUGUGGGUCUUGAUCUCCUCCUCGCCCAGCAGCAGCUCAGCUGUUGAUCUUGAUCUCCUCCUCGCCCAGCAGCACCAGGCGCCGGAAGUGGCCCAGCGCCCAGAUGGGGAAGAUGUUGCUGCGGCGGCAGGGAGGGGAGGGAGGGGGGUUACAUUCAUGAUUAGUUAAGAAGUGGGGAAGGGGGGAAGGGAUGAAGGAGGAAGAGGGGUAAGAGUGGGCGUUGCAGGUUCAGGACGGAGGGGGGUUUACAAUCAUGACUAGCGAUGGGGUGCGGGGCUGGGCCAGGAAGGAGGGGCGGAGGCUGCGGGCGAGGGUCAAAUGACGUGGUCCCAUGCCCAGGGGCUCAGGCGGCCGGUUGAGGCACGAAAGGACGCAGGUGGGCAAGUGCGAGGGAUGGACUGUGGGUCGGAGCUCCCACUUAGCUGCGCGAAGCAAAUUGGGCCGGGCUGGGCUGGGCUGGGCCACACGGGUGGGCCUGGACCCGGGAGCUGAGCGGAGGUGCCGCCAGCCUCCCCCCUUCAUUAGUAAUCAUGAAUGUAACCCCCCUCGCCGGAGGCCCCCCCCGCUUGUGCGGGCCUGCCUGCCUGCCUGCCUGCCCGCCUGCCUGCCUGCCUGCCUGCCUGCCCGCCUCACCGGUAGUUGGCGUAGGUGAUCAUGCAGUUGCGGUUGAACACGCCGCUGAUGUGCUGCUGCGGCCAGUCGCCGCUGGGCUGCUGCAUGCGCAUCAGGAACACGGCGCCGCGCCGCAGCGGCUCCGGGUCCACCUGGGGCGAGGGGGGCGGGUGUGUGGGGGGCCGCGUGUGUGUAUGUGUUGACGAGGCCCGCCAAGGCGCUUUGUGCAUGUGCGUGUGUGUUGAGAUUACGCCUCUGCGGUGGCCGCCCCAGCUCAGCCCAACCCCACCUGUACGUGCCCCAUGCCCACCACCCCUCCCACCUACCGUCCCACCACCGUGCCACUGUCGCGCACAUGUUCAUGGCAGCGCUGUUCAUGUGUUGACGCUGCCGCCCGUGCCCCUAACACACAUGCCCUGAACCCCCACCCACCCACCCACACCCAACCACACAUCGACACACAAACACAAACACACUCGCCCCCUCCCCCUCACCUUGUGGUAUCCCACCGCCAUGAGCGCCAACAUGGCCCAGGCCGUGUUCACCACGUGGCUGUCCCCCUCCAGGUGGCUGUACACCUGGGGGGGUGUGAGAGUGUGUGUGUGUAUGGUUGUUCAAGGCACACGGAAAAACAAGCGCUCAGACUGAAUAUGCGAUGCAGCCACGGCAAACGAAACGAGUGACCCUGUGCACUUGAUAGUCUGUCGUGUGACCACCGCCCAUCCUAUGCCCUCCUCCCCCUCCUCCCUCCUCCCUCCCUCCUCCUCCCCCUCCUCCUCCCUCCCUCCUCCCCCUCCCGCCCCACCUUGUCCUGGCAGCUGAGGUAGCUCUCGCCCCAGCCGCCGUCCGCCCGCUGCUUGUCCGCCAGGAAGGCCGCGCACCGCCGCAGCGCCUCGUCGUUGGCGUACGUGUGCCCCAGCGCCGCCAGCCCAGUGGCGCCGAACCAGCAAGCGUAGGUGAAGCACACGCCCCAGGAGCCGUACCUGCGCAGGAGGAGGGAGGAGGCGGGGGAGGGGGGGAGAGGGGAGAGGGAGGGGUUGUUGAUACCAGCCCGAACUAAACCGAACCGCGCCAAAGUAGCGGAGCGCAGGCAGAGGCGGCAGUUGCGAGGGGGAGGGGAGGGAGGGGUUGUGUAUACCAGCCCAAGCUGGAACAAGGGAAUUCAGCGAAGCACAGGCGCAGGCACAGCACGGGGGGGUGGAGGUAAGGGAGUGUUGGUUGAAGACCAUUCACAGUACUGUGGGAAACCGGAGGCACGGGAAAUGCAGGACAAGACAAGACAGGCUAAACCCGUGGGUGUAGAGGUGUUGACGAAGAGUAGAACCCGGGAUAGCCGCCCUUGCACUCAUUCUGUUUGUUCCCUUCGACGCGGUCUCUCCAAACCUACCAGGAGCCGUCCUUGCGCUGGAUGGAGCGGAUGAAGGCCUCGGCCCGCUUGAGGGAGGCGGCGAUCUCCGCGGCCCGGUGGCCGGGGUGCUGCCUGUGUGUGUGUGCGUGUGGGGGGGGUGCGUGUGUAGGAGUGCGGGUGAGCAGGUGACGGAGCAGGCGCAGGUUGGGACAGGGUGGGAUCAGGACCCAGGACUCCGGCCCCAACACAUUCUACCAUGGACACACAUGCGCAACAUGCACACGUACGCACACACGUACACAGUCACACACUCGCACACACAGUCACACACAGUCACACAAUUCCGCACCCCUUCCCACACGCUCACUGCCCCCCACCCACCCCAUCCCCCGUUCUCUCACUUCCUGAAGCUGCACAGCGCGGUGAUGCAGGCGCUGGUGCACUCGACGUAGCUGUAGUCCACGAUGAUGUCGCCAAACGUCUCGGCGGGGUUCAGGAUCUGGGGGGGAGGAAGGGAUGGGGGGUGGUUGGGGGAGGGUUGCGGGUUGGGGGCGUGGAGGGGCCCCGGCAGGGGGCGGGGAUGGUUGGGGAGUUACAGCUAAGGUAAGGGGGGGCGGGCGGCUGGGGGAGUAGAACACCGCCCCACCGACACCCACAACCACACCCACACACGCACACGCACACGCACACCCCCCCCCCACACCCACACACACCCACACACAGACACGCCUAUGCUUUGCUGCAUCGCAUACACUGUCUUUGCGCUAUGUGUUCCACGUGCGCUAUGCUUUCCAUGUGCUAUUUAAACACCAACCUCUCCCCCCCCCCACCGCCCGCCCCGCCCCGCCCCGCCCCCACCUCCAGCCAGUGGAAGCUGCGCGUGUUCUCGUACGUGGCCAUGCCGCCGUCCCGGUUCUGGUAGCUCAGGAUGACGUUGACGCAGUCGUACAGCCGCUCGGGCGAGAUGGCGGGGCCCACCUGCGGGGGUUGGCGCGUGUGUGUAUUGUAGGUGUGGGUGUGCGAUGGGACAGUGGUAAGGCAGGUUGGUAAAGUCCCGUAGGUUGGGAGGUGAAGCACCCACCGCAUCCACCGGCCAGCCAGCCACCGCUCUACCCGCACGUGGCUUCCGGGGAAGUCAUCAGGGUUAACUUGAACAAUCUCUUACGCCCAAGAUCUUUAAUGACAUUACGCUCAACCCGCCCCCCCCCUCCCAGCCACCCCCACCCGCCCAUGCCGCCCCUCCCGCCACCAGCUCCUCCGGCAACAGCGCCAGUGUGAGCGCCGCCUUCAGUCCCUCGCACACAUAUGCACACACACACAACCAACCCGCUCCCCACAUUCCCUCCCACCCCCGCCCCCAAUCUCCCCCCUUUCUUCCCACCAGCUCCUCUGGCAGCAGCGCAAGCGUGAGCGCCGCCUUCAGUCCCUCGCUGGAGCAGUCGGAGAUGGGCCAGCCGUGGUCGCGCGAUGAGAAGGGCCAGGCGCCCUUGCUGAUGUGGCGGUAGUAGGCGGACAGCGGCGCCGCGGCCUCCUCAAUCACCUGUGCGCGGAGGGAGGGAGGGAGGGUGAGGGCGGAGGUGAGGGUGGAAGUGUGGGUGGAGGUGUGGGUGGAGGUGUGGGUGGAAGUGACCUCCACUAACAAAUACACUUUAACACUUCUCUACACACGCACACACAACCCACGUAGCAAGGAAGUGACUCCGGCGCCGUUUUGUUAUUGUAUCCUAACACACACCCUCCGCCGCCCCCCCUUCCGCACCUGGCUCUGCUCCACGUACUCGUGCGCCUUGCGCAGGCAGUGGCCCGACACCUGCAGCAGCCCGGCCUCGGCGAUGGCCUGCGCUCGUGCGAGUGAUAUUAUUGGAGGGAUCACAUUCAUAAGUAGUUAAGGAAAUGGUAGACGGUAGACCAUCUUGCGGAACAUGAAGCGUUCGGGGGGGGGCGGGUUGGGAUGGGAGAGAAAUGGGUUGCGUCUUGGCGUGUAGCACCAGCAAUCAAUACUGGAGCGGUGGGCUGCAACCCACAACAACUUGAGCCGGCCGCGAAGCAGCCCUUCCACGAAAAGCUACCUCCCUCUCACUCGGGAUUGGGAAAGCUACAACCCCCGCCCCAGUGCCCUCACUCCCUCACCCACCACCCAGCCUCCCCCUCCCCCUCCCCCUCCCCCUCCCCNNNNNNNNNNNNNNNNNNNNNNNNNNNNNNNNNNNNNNNNNNNNNNNNNNNNNNNNNNNNNNNNNNNNNNNNNNNNNNNNNNNNNNNNNNNNNNNNNNNNCCUCCCCCCCUCCCCCACCCUCCCCCCCUCCCUCCUGCCCGCACCUGCACUGCGAAGCUGGUGUCCCACAGUUGGCUGCCGUUGUAGCCCUGCAUCUUCAGCCCGUCCUCCGCCACCCACAGGUAGUCGUGCACACGGGGCAGGUGCCUGGCGGGUGGGUGGUGGGUGGUGGGGUUGGGGGGUGGGGGUGGGGGUGGGGGUGGAGGUUCGGAGAACUUUGACAUGAAGUGGUAGAGCGUGAGCAGCACUUGCAACGAUUGGAGGAGCGGGAGUGGGAGGGUGUGAGUUGGGAGGAGGAAGGGGAGUCGGAGUGCGGAGGAGGAAGGUGAAUGUGGUCAAUGGGGAAUGGGUGGUGUGUGCAGCGUGCGUGCCAGUGUGUGUCUCCUCCUCCUUCCUCCACCCCCCCUGCCCCCCCUCACUUCUGGAAGGCCUUGCCGCCGGGCUCCUCCAGCCAGCAGGCCAGCAUGUUGAUCACCUUGUUGACAGGCCCGAUGUCCACAUAGCGCGUGUUCUCGUCCUGCAGGCGGGUGCGUGCGUGCGUGUGCAUUUGUAUGUGUUAAAGAGCACAAGGAAAACAUUGCGCAAAGACAGUGUAUGCGAUGCAGCAAAGCGAUUUGUAUUGUGUGCGUGUGUUUGUACUUUCUAAAACAACGCGUGUGCGCGUGUGUUGUAGAGAGCAUAAGGGCUUAAAUUACGCCCGUCAUUGUCAUGGGUAGGUGUCGAAAACCACCACAGGGGGACAGUCAACCCCUCCUCCUCCCCCUCCACCUCCCCCCUCCUCCUCCCCCCACCCCCCUACCUCGUAGUGUAUGUGCUUCAUGCACUCGGCCAGCGCCGCCCGCCGCAGCCAACUGCCCUGCAGCACGUUCUCAGCCUUGUACAGCGCCCACCACAGGAUGUCCUGUCCGGGGUUGGGGUGUCACGGGUGGUGUAGGGGGUUACAUUCAUGCAUUAUAUAGGAUUAUAUAGAUGGGAAAAUAUGGCAAGGGAUCCUCAUUCGUCCACGGAGCACGUUGAGAUCUUCCUACACACGCACACACACACACACACACACACACACACGCACACGCACCUGCACCAGGGGGUGGGGGUAGUACAGGUCCUCCUUGGCGCACUGGUUGCGGGCGGCGUUCCAGUCGACCCGGCCGUACGGCAUGGGGUACAGCUCCUGCCUGCGGCGGCGUGGCAGGCCCACGGGGACAGAGGGCGGGUGUACCAGUGGCGGUGGGUUACAUUCAUGAUUAGUUAAGGAAGUGGUAGACGGUAGUAGGUGGGAGGGGAAAGGGAGCGCCGAGCCCAUGCGUGGGGGUCCUGUACAUGGAUGCGCGUGUAUAUCUACGUGCACUGUGCAUGGCACGCGCGCCGACCCCCACCGCCCCCCACUCCCAUCCCCAUCCCUCCCCACACACACGCACGCCCUCCCCACCUGAUGGCGGCGGUGAGCGGCGUCUCCUGGCACGUGCCGCGCUUGCCGUACACGUAGCUCAUGGGCAGGUACACCUGAGGAGCGGGGGAGGGGGGAGAAGCGGGUCGGGGGAGCGGGGGUUGGUGCCGGGGUUUGUGGGGCGUGUGUGAGCCGCCUGGUGGGUGAUCCGCACCACCCCUAGAGCUCAGGCCACUCGCCGCGAACCCGCCUCUUGCGCGCGCGCCCAGCCCCACGCCCAGCCCUUGACCCUGAGCCUAUCUUGAACCCCAACCCAGCAUCGCCACCAGCGCACAAACACACACACACACACACACACACGCAGCGCCACGCUUUGCUGCACCGCAUACACUGUCUUUGCGCAAUGUUUUCCUUGAGCUCUUUAACACAGCGCCACAGCCACACACGCACCAUGCGGCAGUGGCACCAGAAGCGGCCCGGGUGCAGCAUGCCGAUGCCCGUCCACUUGCUGGGGGGACAGGGCGGGGGAAGGGCAGGGGCGGGGGCACGGGGAAGGGGAGGGCAGGGAGGGCCGUCGGUGUGGUGCGGCCAGUGCCGGUGGCGCCAGGGGUCAGCUCGAAGGCAUGGCGGGUGGCGGGUUGGCGGGGUGGCACCGUGCCAGCAGCGGCGGCGGUUCUGGGGCGUGCCGCGGGGCCCCCUGCCGCGGGGUCCCCUGCCGCCACCCCCUGCCGCCGGUCGGUGCACCGCAGCUCCUGCCCCCGCCCAGGCACUGCCGCACCGCCACACCCCGCGCCGCCGCCAUCCUGGCAAGUCACUGCGCCGGGCCGUGAACCCUACCCGCCUCCCCCGAAGCCCACCCCCCGCAGCCCUCAGCCCCCCAAGGACUGAUGAUGGGUAGCCACCUCCACCCUCCCGCCCUCCUCGCCCUAUUGCAUUGGGUUCGGUUUAGCCCUGGUUAGGCUGGUAUCUACACCCCUCCUUCCUUCCUUCCCUCCCUCCCGCCUCCUCCCUUCCUCCUCCCCCUCCUCACUUGUGUGGCAGCAGCCACAUCUCGGGCGUGAGCGGGUUCAUGCCGUCCCAGCUGUACACGCCCAGCACCGCCAGCCAGAACUUGCCCCAGCUGGUUAUGUAGGUGGCACCGCCGCGGGCGUGCAUCUGGGGGCGGGAGAGGGGAAGGGGUUACAUACAUUCAUGAUUAAUUAAGAAGUGAAGGGGGAGGGGGAGGCAAUUCCAAACCCCAAAUGAAACCGAAGGGGCAUUGCGAGGUUUGGCGGGGGAGGAGAGGGGUUCCAGGCUUGACUAGUGAGAUGAAGACGGUGUUGGGGCAGCGCCGUGUUGCAGACGGGUCAAAAAUGUCCUUGUUGGGAAUGGCGCCGUUGGGAGUGUUGGUUGGGGACUGCAUUUGACUCUCCCCGCGCUUCCCAUCCUCCCCCACCUGCCGUCUAACGAGCGACCGGUAUGCCUAGAAGGCUGGAACCCUGUCCCCCUCUCUCCUCUCCCUCCCCCGAUUCCUUGACUAUGUGGACCAAUUUCGUUGGGCUCGGGCAAUUACCCCCCUCUCCGCCCUUUCCCCCUCCCCCUCCCCCGCUACCCCCUCCCCCGCUACCCCCUCCCCCGCUACCCCCUCCCCCGCUACCCCCUCCCCCGCUACCCCCUCCCCCUCCCCCCCAACCCCGCUACCCCCCACCCCACCCCACUCACCCACUCCCGCGCCUUGACGCACAGCGGCUCCUCCGCCGCCAGCCCCAGCAGCCGGGCCAUCACGUAGCUGAGGGUGGGGGUGCGGGUGGGAGGCGUGCACGGGGGGGGGCCGGUUGCUAGGAUGUUUAGAAAAGCAGUACAGGAUGCACUGGGGGGAGGUUACAUUCACGAUUAGCUAAGGAAGUGGUAGACGGUAGGGGAGGAGUCAAGGACCACCCUGCACCACCCUCCCUCUCCUGCCUACCCGGCAUUUCUCCCCCUCCCUUUCCCGCCACAGCUCCGGUUCUCGGUCUCGGAGCUGGGCAUCGACUACCCGCCCUGCUCCCCGCUUCCCCCACCGCACCCCUCAUGGUGUGGUGCGAGCAGCACCAGGCCCCUCCUCCCUUCUCUCCCCUUGCAUGGACGGCUGACUCCCCCCCUUAGGUUGAUCUGGGAUUGGGACAAGCUGCCCCUCAACCCCUCGGCCCUUCCCUCCUCGGUCCUCCCCCUGGUCUCCCCUCCUCUCCCCCAGUGUGACUCCGUUGUCAAGGCAUAGGCCACGCUCUCCUCCUCGCCCUUUUGCAUUGGGUUCGGUUUAGUUUGGGCUGGGAUCUACACACACACACACACACACACACGUCCUCCCUCCGCCUCCUUGCCUCCCCUCCUCUCUCCCCCUCCUCCCCCCCUCCCUUCUUAACUAAUCAUGAGUGUAACCCCCUUGCUGCUCACUUGAGGCCGGUGCCGAACAUGGUGCUGCCACCCUCAAUGUGCAGACCGAAGCCGCCGUCCUCGUUCUGGUGGUUGUGCAGGUAGCGCAGGGCCUCCUUCUUGUGAGCGGGGCUGAAGAUCUGGGGAACAGGCAGGAGGGAGGGGUUGCAAUCAUGAUUAAUGAGGAAGAAGCGACUUUGGAGCCGGGCACAUAAGUACAGCAGGCGCGUCGUUACGGGGGGGUGACAUUCAUGAUUAUUCAGGCAGUGGGAGGGAGGGGGGAGGGGGGAGAGGGAAGGACGGGGCAUGGCUGGGUUGGAGACGGCGGCGUGGAAAUGGUGCAGCUUUCCACGGAGAGGGGGGUUGUAGAUACCAGCCCAAACCAAAGUGAACCCAAUGCAACCGAGCGAGGAGGAGAGCGUGGGGGGAGGAGGGACGGUGACGGGUGGGGAAGGGGGAAGCUGCCCAUGCAGAAAUCCCCUCAAGUUCGGGGGCCUGCGGUGGUGUGGGCGAGGCGAGGUCGUGUAUGUGCGCGUAUGCAUAUGCGUGUGUGUAGGCGCCUGGGCGCGCCGCCAGCCCGCGGCACGGACACGCGUGUCAUGUCUGCCCGCCCUUCCGGGCUGGCCCCCGCACCUGUGCCCCGGCCCCUCCGAACCGCCCAGCCAAAAGGACUGGCCCUGAUGCAGACACCCUCACGUGCGACUUGCGCAUCACCACAGCCUGGCAAAACACCACACGCGACACGCCCUACCCACCGCGACACGCCCAGCCCACAGCCUGGCCCGACACAACACGCGACACGCGACACGCCCUGUCCUGCAUGCCGUGUCCUGCAUGCCGCAUUCCGCGCAGCCCCAGCCCCCAUGUCCGGUGUCGUUGUCCUCCCCCAGAGCCUCGCACCUCCUCACCUGCCCCGUUCCCACACACGCCUCGUCCCGGCCUAUGGCAUGCAGAUCGCGGCCCUUUCACGAGCCCUUGCUGCGUUUCAUGCCCAUGUGUGGCGCCCCCCUGCAAUGCCCGCACCCCCCUCCCCCCACACGCACACACGCGCACAGCACGUAACCAUGCCCCCCUCCCCGUCCCCCCUUCUGCCCUUGACUCACCCCUCCACACACGCACCUGGUCUAGCGCACCGCAGGUGUAGAGCGUGAUGACCAGGCCAGGCAGCAGAAACAUCGGGCCACCGUAAUCACCCGGAAAGUGGCCGUCCUCCUGCUGCAGGCACUCAUAGAAGCUGAUCGCACCCUUUAGAUGCUCCUCCACGCGCUCAGCGUCGGGCGCGUCAGGCACCGGGCCGGAUGGCGGGGAAUGCUUCUUGGCGCGAAUGCGGUCCGCGGACUGCAGGCGCAGCAGCUCAUCGCCCGAGUGGUGGUGUUUAUCUUUAUUGGCUGUGAACUCUUCGCGCAGACGCUCCGCCUCAGCGCGCUGCUCAGGGGUGCCUGCCGCUGGGUCAUACUCCCAAGUCUGGCGUCCUUUGUUCCCAUUCAGCGAGCGCAGCAGCGGACCGCCAGUUGUGCCGGCAGAAAUGAAUUUCCACAUGGCAGUCCACUAUUUAAGAAGCACUAGACGAAUGCGUUACAAGCCCCCGCGCUUCCUGGGCGCGCUGGUCGCCUCAAGCUCUGUAAGGAGUCAAUAUGGUAUCUCUUCGCGGUUUAGCCUUGGCAGGCCUGGGCGUGCGUAAGAGCACUUCGCUGGCAAAGAGGAGAAGUUGAUGGAACCCAGCUGGUCAGGUCUUAGCUCCCUAUCGCGCAGCAAAUGUAUUUCUAUGGCACCGUGGCGUGCACCAAUGUGUGUAAAAGUGAAGUGCAAGCUCCGCUGGGCGCGCGGGGAUCGCAGGGGUCGCGACCGGCAUGCGCGGGCAACCGUACCGGUACCGUGUGGGUAUGGGCGGCGUGUCCGGCCGUGUCAGGUCGCCGGGUGCAAUCGCUGCCGAAGGUGCCUUACUUUAGUAGCAAAUGUACUCCUUUGAUAAUCAACAUAGAAGCAUGCGCUAGGAGGGUGAGAACCUUGGGGAUGGCGAGUGAUGGUUGCAACCCGAGUGGUGGGUCAGCAACGGGGAGUCCCGGGUCUGCUGGCUACGUGGGCGGGGGGUGGCGGGGGCUGCGGCGUGCCUGUGGCCAGGUCGUCCCAGGUCCGCUGGAUGGCCCGGCCGGGUCUACUGGACUGGGCGAAUGGCCCGGCCGGGCGGCAUCAGGCAUGCUAGGCGGCCGGGCCGGGUCGGCAGGAUGGUUGCAGCAGCGUCUACACAAGCAACAGCAUUAACAUUACCCCAUGUAUGAGGAGUUACCUCGAUAUACAAGGAAGCACUUGGAUCAAAAGCCUAUCCGGUUCGGCUUCGGUCUGCUAGCGUGUCGACUGGCGCGCCCCAGCAUGUCCGUAGGCUCUUGAAUAGGCAGGCCUUCCCCUGCCUUGCAGCAUGCGCUUCUUUCCUAUUCUUUCUGCUAUCUUUUACACACCUUUACUAUCAGUCAAGACGCGUGAUGUGCGCACGGGUCGGGUCGCUGCGGUUGGAUGUCUGUGCUGGGGUUGCGGGUUCGGUCGCAAGGGUGCGGACUGCCUGGGGUCUGGGCGAGCAAUUCGGCAUGACUGGCCUGCUCUGCAGCCGGGGGGCAUGCCCUGCGAGGUCUGCCACAGUGCCACACUCACACGUGGGGUCGUACCGUAUACCCCGCCCGGUCGCUGCUUGUUCGCCUCGCAAUGACGCCCGGCUCACUCGAGACGUCUGGGCACUGAUGACAGCAGCAGGGGGGGGGGUAGGAAACAAAGUGCCAGACCCCAUGCCCCGAAAUCCCCCGGGCCCCCCCUUGAGGGGACGACCGACCCCCCGACGGACAAAACCUUGUUGUUCAGGGGUUAAAACCCCUCCAUUUUAUACCGAGCACGAGCGGUCCUGUUUUGAGACUUCGGUCACAGGCGGAAUCCUAUCCAUGGAAAUCCCCUCGACCCAGACCACCCCGCGCUCAACUCUCUGCCGCGUGACGGUUACACAGUGUGCAUCGGCAGCCUUGUUAGACGUGAACUCAUGCGCACCAGCGCUUCAGAGCCCAGCUGUGUCAGUGCGCAUGUGUUGAAUGUGGAGACAUGUCCAGACAUGUCCACGCCUGGACGCGCAACUUAGCCCUCCCACGCUUUGUUUGCGCUUAGUACGUCAUAACAUGCACAUAUGAGCCUCAUACUGCUGCGUUUGACCCCUAGUUCUGCUUGUGGGGCGCUUCCCGAAAUCCGCCAGGAUGGGCUCCCGAAACCCGACGGAGCCCCAACUUUUUGAGAAUGGAUCCCCCUUGUACCCAGGACGAGGACCGACCCCCCAACUUUGGCGGCCCAGAACUUCCUCACCAGACACCCCCUCAGAAAACAAGGGGUGUCAGCUUUGUACAGCUGGAAAAUGGGCUGAGCCCCUAGAGCAAGGGAUGUGACGAUGGGUACCGGCGAUAUACUGCGACAUAAACAGCACCCUUGCAAGCCCAGCGGGACUGGCAAAGGGGCAUACCAAAGGCACCGCCACGCCCUGUCCACGCCACUCCACACAUGAGCCCGUGAUACCUCAUUCCAAAUCCCUCACAAGCACCACAAACGGCUAGUGGGGCUCGGGCGCGUGAUCCGGGGCCGCGACAUAAUUAAGGCGGGAUCGGCACGCAUGGUUCGGCUGUUGCACAAACUUUCGACAUUCUUGCCCCAAGACGCUUGUCGUCGACAUGUUUUGAUACAUGGAUGUAAGAUAUUCAGGGCCCGAGAGCUAUACGGUACUCGCGGACUGAAGAAAGUCAAGAUGUCCAUGGACUCGCGAGGUCGCUUCUCGCUCCGGCAGGCAGGCAGGCAGGCACGGACAGGGGCAAUCCUGGGGGGCUUCGCCCCCCCUGGAUCGCUUCGCUCAGGGGGCUCAGCCCAACUAGAAGUACGUGCAUAAUGCUCCCCUAAAGCUCUGUAAUUUUGAGCAUGGGGUAAGAACCAGAGCUUUCUCCCCCCCCCCUGACAGCAGCGUGGGAAAGCCAUGCAACAAAGCGAGCCUCGGGUGGGACCAAAAGUCCAAAACCUCCUACCGCACCGUACUCACUCACAUUGUCUCACAUCAACCAACACGAGCCCCAGGCGCUGGCCGGUACCGCAGCAGGCAGCUUGGCGCAAACUCGUGCACAAUCGAGCGCCAGAACUGAUCAUCACGGCUGUGACCCUGUUGCCUGGUGUUGCUCAGUUCAUCAGGGGAAGGCGUGCACGCGAGGUGCGGGGCCGGGCGAGGUGCAGGGGUGCGGGGGUGCGGGGCACCCGCGGCGAGGUGUGUUGUCUGUCCACCUGUCCCAGCAACACGUCAGAGGCCACCGCACCAGCCACCAGAACAAAGGGCACCCCUCCGGGCACCCAAGAAAGCACGCGAAGCAACAACAAACUCACAGAACAGAGCAAGAAACAGACGAACCCAGCACCCAAACCCAACCCACCGCAAGUGCGCGCACAACAGAACGCAGGCACACCCGCACCCACACGCUAUAGAACGGGCCCUUGGACCCCAUACGGUACAGGCCAGGGCACACAGACAGCUGCCAACCGACCGCCACGCACGCCCACGCACAGAAACGAGCGGCCGCGCUCACUGGCCCAGCAACAAAGCUCAGACCAGAAGUUGCUCGGGAACCACCGCGGGCGCAAGACCAAACGCAGGGACACACACCACCACCACGUCGCAGACCGUGUCAUGUGCCCCACUCAGCCGGGGGCACCCAGACAGCGGUUUUCCGCCCACCCCGCGCGCCCACCUAUCCAAGCCAAGCAGCCGCGCGCAGUGACCCAGCAGACCAGGUGCCGCACAGGAACCACCGCAGGUGAACGACCCGCCCCAAACCACUAAAAGGGCCGCUCACAGAGCGCCCGAAAGAACUCCGCUUCCGUGCGCGUCGCGCCCUGUAGCGCCCUCCAACAGCUGCGGCGCCAGGCCCCGCGGGCACACAAGAGGUCCACAGUCCGCCACGCAGUCCCGCUCCCAGGUGCAGACCUCACCGCGGAGGGACCUCAGAACCAGCAGUGCAGCAGCAGAAGGCUGGGAGCGCAGUCCCCCCCUGCAAUUUGGUGUGCGGUGCCGGUCUGGCAAGGUUGUCACGUGCCAGUUGACCCAAUUGUUACGCGUGCGUGUCAGCGGGUGUCAGAAGGCCGUCAAGCUACAGGUUGCAGUGCUCGUAUCUUCCAUCUACACUGUAGAAAUCUGCCCAAAAUCCGCCGAAGGCGGAGAAAAAUUUUUGGGUUUGGGUGCCACGCAUCUACGCAGUGUAGACAGUUUUGGCCGGUUUUGGCGCAAAAAUGGGGGAAGCGUAGACGUUUUGGGGGGCUUGGGGGCUUAAGUGUAGAUGCCGCGGUCAGGGUCAUCUACGCAUGUGUAGAUGCCGGGUGCCUGAGGGCAUCUACAAGAUACGAGCACUGACAGGUUGCUGCCGCUUUGCUACCUGCAGGCUAGCUUGGGACACACAACCCAGCCGCUACACAACCUGGGUGGGGCGAGGCCCCGCAAGCAGCGGCUUUGUAUUAUUUUGGGGCAGUGCACGCUUGAAUGCACGUGCACGGCGGAAGUGAGUAAGCACCCGGUGACUCGGUAAGCCCCUUGUCCCGCGUUCUGGCCGUCUGGCGCCCUACUGUAGUGCCCCACACACGGAACGCCCGUCCCCUGCCAUCCGUCCGCGCAUGUCCUUCCCUAAUGACAGAUAGGCCUUCGGGCGCCCAGCCGUGAGUAAGAGACAAGAUUGUGGUUUCCCUCGCAUGGGAAAAGUGGGCUGCGCCCACGCCACGUCUCUAGUCUGAGGCCGCAAGCGUCUACCUCACCUCCCGGGUCAUAGUCGGGGUCGGUUAGGGUCGGUUCGUGCAGGCACAGCCCGCCAUGCGUCCAGCCACAGUCCGCUGCCAAGCAGCCAGCAAUACACAGGAAACCCCCUAGCCACAGCACUCCUCACUGCUGCGGCCUAUGCUCGCCAGCAAAGACCGCUAACCAGACUGAACCAGAACAGGUCCUCUGCGAAGACGAAAAGCCACAUUGGGCCCCUGAGAAACCGAAACGUCGCUGAUCGGCGAGCAGCCGACGGAGUUAGCAUGCACUGGAGUUGCGUAAGAUGUCGUGGCGAACAAAUAUAUCUUUGCCGGCUUUGAACGGCGCCCCGUGACCGGGAAAGUAUCGGCAAAGGGUCCCACCAGGCAGAGCAUAUUGUUGCUAGACAUGCCCAGCGGUUUUGUCAUGAUAUCGCAUAUCGUAAGAGCAGGGCCAAGUUUGCAAGCGACACCACGAGCAAAAAGCGGCGGCGACCAGCGAACUAGGGUUUAUAUUUUGGGCUUUGCAAUCGACACGGUCAACCAUGAAGCAUACGCUCGUGCCUAUGGGGGCUGCGCGUGCGCUCAAUUAGCAGUCGAACACGGAUAUCCCUCCUGUUCGCCGCUUAUGCGCCUCGUAGUGACGCCCGGCUCACAUUAUAAUUCCUGGGCAACGAUAAAAGCAGAUUAAUAAGUCCAAGCAACAAAUCGAGCAAAACCAAGCUGGUCCGUACACGCACAUGAAGUUACCACAUGGCUUGACAUUCGGUUGGCAGCAGACAGAACUCAACUCAAGAAAACCUGCAUUUUACACGCUAGAUUGGCACGGCCCACAAGAGGAGCCUGGCGAAACCUCCGAGACGUCUCCAAGCUACGUCCAAUCGGCGUGCGCUUCGUUCUCAAAGCAGGUAAGGCUCGCACAUGUUGCCUCAGACUGCAUGUAAAUGCUCCGAAGACCGGGCUGCCAUAAGUGGGGCGGCCACUGUUGUUGCGUUGAGAAGAACCCUGGCCGCCGAGUUUCAGCGUCCUCGGCGAAUGCGUCACGGACAGCGAUCUGGGGCGCCGAGGCUCGAUUGACACUGCAUUUGUGCAAUUUUGACCGCGUUCACGUGUCCUGCCCGCGCAGAACCGAACCAUGGCGUCCCUCGAAUUUUGGCCGGGGCCGUCGGGGCAAGACGGAUGCCACAUGUGCUCGGACGUGGAGAUGCAGGAUUACUUAUUCCAGCACGAACAAGACGGCAUGCUCGGCUUCGACCUGCCGCAUGUCGACGACGACAUUGGAAACGCGGACCCACUGCUGCUUGCGCCGAGUGGCGCCGGUUGCGGCCAGACGCCCGGCGCUGUCUACAACGUGUUGACACAGCUGCAGGCUGCGCCGCUGGGCUCGCUGGCCAUCGUAAAGCAGGAGCCGUCGGAAUCCUCACAUGGAAGCGCCGCGGGCUCGCCCAGCAACGACGGCCCGCUGUCCUCCAGCACGCCGCACCACCCCGCCCACCCCUCCAGCGCCUCGCUCUCCCCCUUCCACCCACAAGCACAGCACCACCACCACCACAGUCGCAACAACACGCUGCUGGGCAGCUGCGCUGCUGCGGGCGCCGGCUUCGGCUCCGGCAGCUAUGACAGCUCCUGCAGCGGCCCGACACUCGCGGCGCCCGCCGAGGUCGGCAGCGCCUCCGUGACUUUCUCCGCAACCGCCGUGCCCGCCGCCGCCACGGCACUCGCGGCCGCCAGCUCCCUGUCACAACAGCAGCAGCAACAACUGCAGCAGCAGUUACUGGCGUCUGGCAUGCCGCUCGUGUCCUUCUCCGCCAUCCCGCUGCCCGCCGGCCAGGAGCAGGCCGCCACCUGUGCACAGCAGGCACACCUGGCGGCGGCUGCGGCACCAUACAUCUCCGCCGCCACCGCAUCCAUGACCUCCAUGCUCAACAUCCCCAACCUGCACACCUACGCGCUCAGCAGUAGUACCCCUGCUGGCGCCGCCGAGACCGCCGCUGGCGCCUGUGCGAACGGCGAGUCGGGCUCGGCGAGCGGUGCGGCCCCCGCGUUUGAGCCGCACAUGGCCGUGACGGCUGCCCCCGCCGGCACCGCCGCCGGAGCGCCUGCCGUCAUCAUUACGCCGGCGCCCGCAUCCGCGCCAACCGCAAGCCUUGUGACGGACGUGUUCGCCUCACCCUUUGCGCAUGCCGGCAUGACGGCGCCGUCGGCGGCGCCGCCGCCACCGUCGCUGCUCGACGCCGCCGUCGCGGUCCAACAGCAGCUCGCCGCCGCCGCGGCCGCCGCCGCCGCCGCCGCCGCUGGCGGCGCCGCCGCCAUGCUGGCGACCUCCACGCCCUCCGCCGACGCCGACAACUUCGCCUUUGCCUUCAGCGGCGAUGACGAUGAUGAAGACCCCUCCUACGGCGCCUCUGCCAGCCUCGGCGGCAAGCGCGGCAGCUCGGCGGCGCCAUCCAAGGCCGCCAGCGGCGGCGGCGGCGGCGGCGGCGGCAACUGCCGGAAGCUGCCGCUGUCGCACUCGACGGUUGAGAAGCACCGCCGCGACCGCAUCAACCACCUCAUUGAGCAGCUUGGGGAGCUGGUGCCGGCCUGUGACCCACGCUACCGAGGCGCAGCAGCCGACGGCGAGGCCGCAGGUGGCGGCGGCGGCCUGAAGCGGCCCAAGCACGCCAUCCUGGCGGAUGCGGUGAUCCGCUACCGGCAGCUGCAGCAGGACAACGAGACACUGCGCCGCCAGCUGGCGGCGACGGCAGCGGCGGCCGCCGCCGCCGCGUCGGGCUUCAAGAACAUGCUCCAACAGCAGCAGCAGCAACAACAGCAGCAGACGGCGAGCGGCGACGGAACGUCAGCGGUGGCUGUGGCUGCGCUAACGGUUCCGUCAACGCUGCCUGCCGCCACUGCCUUCGCUGAGGCCGCGCCCGUGGCGGCGUCCAGUACGGCCGCCGCCAUGGCCACCUCACACUCGGCCGCGCCGUCCCUGCCCUCUUCACCCACGACGCCCGCAGCGGCGUCCGUCGCUGCGCCCAGCGGCGCCGCCGGCGCCGCCACGUCAGCGACGAUGCAGUCUCUGCUCGUCCAAGCCGCCGCCGCCGCCGCGGCGGUGGGAGCCGCAGCGUCCGGUCGCAACGGCGCCGCUGCCGCGCCGGCUCCGCCGCCGCCUGCCGGCAGCGCCCUUGUUCCCGCGGCGGCCGCCUCCCCUGCCACCGCCGCUACUGCUGCUACGGCUGCUACGGCUGCUGCUUCUGCCGGCCUGAACCUGCUGCACCUUCCCUUCAUCAAGGCCGCCGCCGCCGCGGCCGUAGCCGCCGCCGCGUCCGCUUCAGCCGCUGCCCACGGCAGCGCGCCUGCCGCCGCUCCCGCCGCCGGGAUGCCGCAGCUGCCGGCUGGCUUCGUGCCCGUUGGCCUGAGCACACACGGCGCCGUCAGCAACAGCAGCAUCGCCGCCGCCGCCACCGCCACCGCCGCCGCCGCCGCCACCGCCGCCCCACGCUGCCAGCAGGUCUCGGCAACGGCACCACCUGGAGCCGAGCCCAAGGUCCCGCAGCUACAGCCACAGCCACCGCAACGGCUACAGCCGCAGGCGAAGGUGCAGGCACAGCCGCAGCACCAGACGGCGGGUCUGGUGAUGGUGCCGGUCUGGACCGGCGCCGCGCCGGGCGCCGUGCCGCCGCCGCCCGUCGCCAUCGCGCCCGCGCCGCCGCCCGGCUCAUCAUGCACCCCCUGGUCCAGCUGUAGCCACCUAGUGGCAGGCGCCGCCUCAGCAGUGGCGGCCGCUUCCACCGAGCCCUCCUCGUGCGGCUCGGUGGAAGAGGACGCAGCCGCCGCCGCCGCCGCUGCGGCCGAAGUGGAGGCGGAGGCGUCCACCGAGGUGCGUGUGGGCCCAAACAGCAGCGCCUCAGCCUCCGGCUCAGCCUCAGGCUCAGCCUCGGGCUGUGCGGCUGGUGCCAUGACGGCGGCGGCGGCGGCCGCCGCGGCCGCGCCUGCGUUGCCGGUGCUGCCCCAGCCGGCGGCCGCGCCCACCGCCGACGCUGCGGCUGCGGCGGCUGCGGCUGCGGUGGCGGCGGCGGCGGCGGCCGCGGCGGCGGCUGCUUCAGUCUCUGACGCCGCCGCCACCUCCGCCGCUGGCGCCUCCUCGUCUUCCUGGCUGGUGCGCAUCGUGUGCCCGCCCCGCCGGGACCUGGCGGCGGCAGCCACCCGCGCGCUGACCGCCGCUGGCAUUCGCCUGCGCGGCGUUAACGUCAGGUGCGCGCGCGUGUGUGUGUGUGUGUGUGUGUGUGUGUGUGUGUGUGUGUGUGUGUGUGUGUGUGUGUGUGUAUGCGUGUGUGUGCUCUGUGACUCCGAAUGCCCCGAUAUCUCGGCACCGCGUCGUGAUUACCGGCUGUGUGUAAUAGCUGCUCCGUGCAUACUCGCCCCCGCUGUCAUGUGGCUACCUGGCUGUUCCACUAGCUGCCUGACGCCUACCACCUGACGCCUGACACCCCGUGACACCUUGCGUGUAUCCACACCCACACACCCAUUCCCCAUCCGCCACACACACACAGCCCCGCGCCCGGCCCCGGCCACCGCAUGGCUCUGGAGCUGGAGGUGGAGUGCGGCGAGGACGUCAUGCCGCGGGGGCAGCAGGUGGGGCCGCGGAGCGUGUGUGUGUGUGUGUGUGUGUGUGUGUGUGUGUGUGUGUGUGUGUGUGUGCGUGUGUGUGUGUGUGUGUGUGCGUGUGUGUGUGUGCGUGCGUGCGUGCGUGCGUGUGUGCGUGUGUGUGUGUGUGUGUGUGUGUGUGUGUGUGUGUGUGUGUGCUCGCAUGCGGAGUGAGAAGGCUCAUGUGCCAAGGGGCUCCACAGAAUCACAAACUUAUCGCAACGCUCAUGCUCCAUUGAACCACAGGUCGGUGCCAUCCAAUGCGCCAUCCACGCCGCGCUGGCGGAGGCCGCUGACGUCGAGAACGUCGACAGUGGCGACACCACCGCGGCGGCGGCGGCGGCGGCGGCGCACAACGCGCUCAGAGGCGUCAGCGGCGGCGGCGGCGGUCCCAAGCGGCUGAUCCACCAGGCGCCGGCAGCGCCGCCGGGGGGUGGCGCUCGCAAGCGCUCCCGGACCCAUCGCUAGACGCUACGCGCCGCGCCGCUACGCGCCGCUUCGGCACCCUGCGCGAGAGGGGACGCGGCGGUCAAGGCAGGCUGUCAGCUCAUCGGCCAUGCCGGGCGCACGGCGGGAUGUGGGUGCAGCACCAGACACGCCGUGCCGCGGACCUGGCGUUGGGCAAGACAGGGUAUGUGCCAGUGCGGCACGGAAUCCACGUUUCCAGCAAUCUAAUGACGACAUGCAGUCCUGCGCACGAAGAGCACGAAGCAAAGAGCACGUAACAAGCUACUCGGCGCAGCGGGCUUGCCUCGCUGCUUUGCAGAUGCGGUGAGGGCGACUUUCAGUUUGAGGCAGGCGGUAGUAUCGACUUGGCGGCUGUGCUGAUCAUUUCAUCGGCGCGGAGGUGGAUGGGCCGGAGGGGCACCAGCGGGUCAGGGGGUCGCACGGCUAUGUGGUGCGUGGCAGGCGGUUGGGUGUGGCGGUUCUGGCAACCCGCAUCCUAAGGUCGCCCUUCUGUUUCUUGGUAGGUACAUGCUUGUUGUUGGGUAGCGGACGGCGGCACCUGCAGUCGGGCAGAUCCGGUUUGUCCGCGGUGCCCAGGACUGCGGAUUGCGGAGGGGUUUGUGGGCAGGAUAAUGGCUUGGGUAGCGGUAGUAACGGAGGCCUCCUUGGGGUGAUACGACCAGAACACACCGCGCAUGAGGCAACCGCAUGACAGGUCAUGACCGGUCAUCAAGCGUCUGGACUGCUUAGCCGCUAGACAUUGAGAGGUAUUGAAGACAUACAUUACGUGCACAGCACGAGCACAGAUAAUAAUAGCCCGGGCAAACACCUUACAUCGCCGCUCACAGCUGUCCGACGCGGAGUGUUCUCCUGUUGUGGCUGCGCGGCGAUGAGAUUCUUUGUGUGUCGUGCGAGGGAGCAUGUGCGUCCUGUCCUUGGAGCGUAUGCAUGUUGAUCCAAUCUAGGAACCGUCGGUACGAAUGGGCUUGUAUGCUGUGGAUUGGACGGCGGAUGUAUUGGGUCAACUGCUAAGGGGAGUGUUAGGACGCUGGUGUUAGGGCACCUGUGCGAGCGCAGAAUGUUUCUGCGCCUGCGGGUGCUGUGUACGGUAAACUGGUUAAUCGCGGGAACUUCGUUGGGCUCUAAAACGCCACACGAUCGUCGUAUUGGCGGGGCGUUCGGCCGUGGGUUGCUUGUCCGUACGCUUUUUGGCGUCUGGCUUUACAGCAUGAGUGGGAAUUCAAUCUUGCAUUUCAGCAUGAGCGGUAGGAUGGGAGCAAGCACUUGGUGUGCAAUAGCUGUAUGUGUGUGUGUUUCGCUUUGGUGCUGCUGUGGGUAGCGUUCUGUGCAGUGUAGGUGCGUGCCGCAUGCAGCCAAUCGAGGUGGUUGGGAGCGGUUGCGCGCGUGAGAUGAAGAAAGCGUGCAGAUACGAAAAGGCUAGAGACCUGCGUGCAUCAUUCCAGCGCCUGGCAUUUGCUGUGCGCGUGAGGACCAACUGCUGCGUGUUCCAGUUUCGCGCAUUAUUCGAGACGAGCAAGUGCUCUGAGCUGUGGACUUAGGGUGUGAAUGCGAUGGGCGCUAGGACGCAAGAUGGCAUGAGCGUAAUGUUGCGCAUGCGUGCUCAAAGCUAUUAAAGCUAAUCAGUGUUGGUGGCAAGCUUCGACUGGCUUCGGCUGCUGCUGCCUGCUUCCUAUCACGCUGAGUAUUGUCAAUCUGUCGCACUGCUGGCACGCCCUGAAGCGUGUCCUGCAGGCUCACGCGCUAAUCAAUUGCAGCGCUGAGCAAAGCAUAAUAACGAAAGCACGGUUUCUGGGGUUCCCUGCUUACUGCUGGUUGUAGUAGCCGCUGCCGCUGGUGCUGGUGUUGCUAGUCGUGUUGGUGGUGGCGGCGGCGGCCGCUCCAUAGCGCCACCGGCUGAUGGAGUUGAUGCCCUUCAGCACACUGUUCCCGCGGUAUCGUCCAGGGUUUCUUCACGUGAUGAGGCGCUGAUACCAGGAUCUCUAGAUCCCACGUGGGCGAGUGUCCCUGCGUACCUUGGCCGCAGAGGGCAUCGGCACGGUGUAGGGCGCAUGGGGACUGCGGGCCGUAUUGACGUGGCUACUGUUGGGCUGCAUUGCUGGCGCCUGUUGCUGUGAACCUGUGGUAAUAUGACAGGAACAUUUGCCGGGUUUUCAACUCACUAGAAGCGGCCUGGCAUUUCAAGGUCAGCUAGGAGUUUCCCGGGGGUUUCAGUCCCCCGCACGCGCGUGUGCUAGCGGGGCUUGUGUUUAAUGCAUUGCUGAUGCUGCUGGUUACUGGCGGUGAUGAGGGUGCUAAAUGCGUUGCAGAAGUGGAAGAUGUCAGGUGGAGUGGGCUAGUGCUGCAUCUGCGGCUGGAAGUGGAUGACCGGUUGUGAGGCGGCAAAUUCAUCAUGUGUGCCCGGCACGGUUGCCCGGCGCCUAUGCGUUAUUAGCGCGCCCGGCUCGUUUCGGGACGGGAGUCACGGGAGUUUACUAGGCGGUGCCUAGUAGGCGCGUGCGUAGGCCGGCUCGUUUGCCUAGUGUCCGUGACAUACAUGUAGCGGUCACUAGGGAGAGGGGGCCAUUUGUGUUUUUAGCCGUCCUGCGGGGCAAGUUGUAGCAGGCGUAUGCGGGGCAGUGGGGGCAGUGACGCCCACGUCGUUGCGGCGCUAAUCUGUAAUGAAUGGUAGCAUUUUGCCAUUAGCAAGGCUGGCAUAAGGGCAGUUUGGGGAGUGGUUGGUUCAAGCAUGGUUCAAGCAUACGUUGUUGGUCGUGUCGUUGUCAUCGCUGUAAUUUGUAACCAGACAGUUAACCCGUGGCGCUCAUUCCUGUGCCGUGAUCCCGCACUCCAUGACAGUCUCUUUCCAGCCAGCCAGCAAUUUAUACAGUAACUACAGUAACUCGGCGUUCGACCAGCCGCGCACUCCUGCCCUGCCGUUGCAAGUUGUUUGCUAUCUGCUGGGGUCUGGGAAUCAGCUGCACCCUGCGCGACUUCACCAACCUGCCUUAACACUGUCCCAUCGCACGCCCAUGACACCCAAGGCCUCCGCACAACGCCAGUCCUCUCGCUCUGGGAUUCCCGUCGUGUUCCACAAUACAGCAUUCUCGGUGUUAGCAGCCCCUGCCAUCGCUGCGACAACGGGAGACUCAACCAACGUGUUCAGAUGUAGCAAUGAAAGCCCGCGGCUCCACGUCUCGUGCGCGGCUGUGCCAGCCAGUUCCGCAAUACCUAACAGGUCCCCGCCACGGGUCAGCGACACACCACCCAUCCUGCAAACGCAUACGGUAGAUUAGCCUCGGCAGCGCGCACACAUGCCACAUCCCCAACCCCAGCCUCGGCCUCGACCAGUGCCCCACUCCUCACGCUGCCCCACUCCUCACGCGCCCUACUUAUCCUCCUUGUCUUUAUCCUUCUUCCCCCUCCCGCCCCCUCCCCCUCCGCCUGCUCCACCCCCUCCCCCUCCCGCCGGCGCCGCGCCGCCCGCCCCUACACGCUGCCAGCUGCCUGCCCCGCUGUGCGCGUCCACCACGAACUCCUCCUCCACGUCCGUGAUGCGCAUGCCCGCCGGCGCGAAGCCGCUCAGCAGCGCCAGCAGGUCGCGCUCCACCGCCGCCACCUCGCCCGGGUCCACCUGCGGCGGCGGUGAGGCGCGGGGGUGAGGCGCGGGGUUGAGGGCAAUGGGGUUGAGGGUAAGGGGGAGGAAGGGCAAAGGCCAGGUUGAGGGCGAAGGGUCCGGGUUGAGGGUAAGAAUGCGUUAACGGAGGGCAAGGGUUGAGGGUAAGGGAGGGCAAGGGAGGGUAAGGGAGGGAAACGGAGGGCGGUGAUGGGAGCACGGGGUUGUCGUG